RNAcentral lists this long non-coding RNA (48848 nucleotides) under Marmota monax (woodchuck). The record is from RNAcentral. Lineage: Eukaryota; Metazoa; Chordata; Mammalia; Rodentia; Sciuridae.
UGAGGACACAGUGAGAAGGCUAUUAUCUGUUGGUCAGGAAGAUGGCCUUCACCAGGACGCAGACAUGUUGGCACCUUCAUCUUGGACUUUAUCUCCAGAAUUGUGAGAAAUAUCUCUUUCUUAAACUACCCACUCUAUGUAUUUUGUUGUGACAGCCCAAACUGUCUGAGACAAUGGGUCUGGGAAUAUGUAAAUUUAAAGUGGUUUAACUAAUUUAGUUGAUGAAAGAGGGUUUAUUAAGUGAUCUUUAAGUUCUUUUAUGGUGUAUACUGACAAUAACUUUCAUUUUUAAAAAUCAUCUUUAAAUUUAAAAAAUAUUUGCACAUAUGUGUUUCACCAUAUUUCACAUUUGUCUCUUUGAUGUUAGAUCAUAAACUGUCAGAAGGUGAAAGCUACUUUUGCUCAAUGUGUCUUUUAGAACAGUCCCUAUUACAUGUUUUACAAACAUCUUUAGGUAGAUUUAAAAAAAUUAAAUAUAAUUCACAUACCACGAAAUUCACUUUUUGAAAGUGCAUUAUGCAGUAGAUUUUAGAACAAAAUUAUAUAAUCAUCCAAUUCCAGAACAUUCUUCCCACCAAAGAAAUUCUGGUCUUGUUAGCAGUCAUUUCUCAUUCUCUCCAGCCCCUGAGAACCACUCAUCUGCUUUCUAUCUCUGGAUUGGCCUAUUCUGGACUUUUCAUAUACAGAUCAUACAACAUGAUUUCUGAGUCAGCUUCUUCUUUCACCUACUAUAAUAUUAUAAAGACUCAUUCAUGUUGUAGCCUGAAUCAGUACCUCAUUUAUUUUUAUGGUUGAAUAAUAUUCCCUUGGAUGGAUGUACUACAUUUUGUUUCUCCAGUCAUCAGUUGAUGGACAUUUGGGUUUCCACCUUUGGGCUAUUAUGAAUAAUGUUGUUGUAAACAUACACACAUUUUUGCAUGGGCAUUAACUCUCAUUUCUCUUAGAGUGGAAUUGCUAAGUCCUAUGGGAACUGUAUGUUUAAGUUUUUGAGGAACUGCCAAGCUGUUUUCCAAAGUUGCUGUGCCAUUUUAAAUUCCCACCAGCAGUAUGUGAGGGAUCCACUUUUCCCACGUCUUCCCAAUACUUGUUUUUGUUUGCCUUUAUGGUUAUAACAAUCAUAGUGCCUCUGCAGUGAUAUCUCAUUAUAAUUUUGAUUUGCAUCCUAAUGAUAAAAGAUUUGAUCAUUUUACAUGUGCUUUUUUGUUAUUUGUAUAUAUUCUUUGGAGAAAUAUCUAUUCAAAUCCUUUGCCAUUUUUCCCACUUUUUGAUAGAUGUUUACUCAAUGUUUCAAAUUAUUUAUACAUUUUUAAUUUUUCCAAAAUAUUUUGGAUGGUGUUCAUUUUCCCACUGGCCAUAUUUAAACUGUUCAUAAAAUGACUAUUAACUCCACAGCUACUAUAAUUGAAUUGUUAUACUCUGUAUUCAGAUAUAGUCCAUUCAAUAACCAUUUAUGCAUUAGGUGUUUUAUUGCAGGUACUGAAGAAAGGAAAAUAAAGAAGAUACAGUUCAUAUUUCUAAUAAUUCAGUUCUAAUCACUCUGUGGAAGUGGGAGAGAUCUGAUUCUGAUGUUAAGAGUGAUGAUACCAUACAUACACCCAGAGUAUGAGAAGUAUUGUUACUUAUGUAAUGAGGCUUUCAGGGUGGGGCAGGUCAGAUUUCCAAAGCUGGCUCAAAAAUGGCUCAAGAGCAGAGAAAGGGAACUGUCUUAGGGUAUUAUGGUGAUUAGGUGGGGGCCAGGGUGAGUGAGUGUUCACCUGUUUGGAGAGUCACAUAGAGAGAUUUGAAUCUCCCAUCAGCUACAAAGGGGACAAACCAUCACAUCAUGGACUUGACUUUUCUUUUUUUUAAAAAAGAUGUUGGGACAGAAAGGAAAAGGGUUACUUUGGGGCUUGUAAGUUUUCAGUAGUCAGACAUCAAACAAAGAGUCAGACUAUUACAAACCUCAGUAUGGGAUUAGAAAAUUAGGUAAGUCAGUAACAAUAUUACAAGGUGAUCAUUGUUUACAAUGCUGUGAAAUCCCAGAGAAGCAAGUGCCCAACUGUCUGUGGAAGACAUCAUGAAGGUGACAUUGACAGAAGAGAGAAGGUAAGAUCUCAAAAGGCAGAGAAGGGAUUGAGGAUGGCAAGAAAGAGUUUUCAGGUUUAAAGAUAGUACUUGGAAAAUCACAUACAUGUGAAAGUGUAGGUAUAUUCUGAGAACAAUCUUUAGUCCUUUUGUAAAGAGUAAGAGGCAUUUGGAGAUGAAGCAAAGGCCAGAAGCGGAACCUGGGUGUGGUGGUUGUUUGUGCAGAAAUAUGAAGGGGCCUGUAAACCAUUUUAACAUUAAGCAUUAAGACUUUAUCCCUUGGAAAAUGAAAAAGCCUCAAAAAUGAGGUUACAUUUGCAUAUUAGAAAUGUUAUUUGGAGCCAGACACUGUGGUGCAUGCCUGUAGUCCCAGCAACUAGGGAGACUGAGACAGGAGGAUCACAAGUUCAAAGCCAUCCGUAGCAACUUAGCAAGGCCCUAAGCAACUUAGUGAGAACCUAUCUUAAAAUAAAAAACUUAAGAAAAGGGCUGGUAAUGUGUGGUUCAGUGAUUAAGCACCCUUGAGUUCAAUCCCUGGUAUUAAAAAAAAAAAAAAAAAAGGAAGUCAUUUGUGUCUUCAAUAUUGCUGGCGAAUUGGAGGGGGUGUGACCAGUAAAGCCAUCAAGUUUGAACAUGUGGGAAAUUAUUGGAAUUGUCAAGGUAAACCAGGAAGACCUUAACCAAGGCCAGGGGAUGUGAGGGCAUAUAGAUGUGGGAGCCCAAGUUUGUGCAUUAAUUUGUGUAUGAAGGCAAAGGAAAAUGAGAAAUUAACUCUUGGAAUUUCUAACUUGGCCCACUAGGAACUGAAUAGGAUCACCAGAUUUCUGAUUUUGGUAAACAAUGAACAUGGUGGUACCCCUAACAGAGAAAGAAAAAAGAGGGGAAUGGGAAGAAGAAAUAAUGAGAUCUUUGAAGGAUUGUUUAAUUAGAGGUACCUCUGAAAAUCUUUCCUGCUAGUUCUUUGCACAGAAAGUUGGAAACAGUCCAUUCUGUAGCACAAUGUAUUUGAGCACAAUGAUUAUAAAGACACCCUCACCCAGGUGGCUUCCUCCACAAGGGUCACCUUGAAAGGCUGUAUAAAUUCUGUUUUUGCUGCCAAAUGCAAGUGCUUUGGAACUUGACUGUGACUCAAAGGUAACACCUCAUCCUUACACAUGUUCACAAACCAGGAAGCACUUGAUUUCAUUUUAGCUGAUCCUUAAAACCAUCCUGUGAAGUAUACAGUAGGAUUAUUAUCUUUUUACCUAUAACUACACAAACACAGAGAGGUUGAUUUUCUUCACAUGGUUAGAAAUGAGGACUCAAAUCCUCUUUUUUUUAUGAUCAAUUUAAUUAGCUAAGGAUUCUAGAAACUGCAAGUUCAGCCAGCCUUGUGGAUUCUGUCUCAUAGUGCAGGUUUAGGCAGCAAGGGGUUGGGAUAAAAUGGCAGGAUUGGAGUCUCCUGGAAGAAGCACUGUCAGGGACUCAGUGAAAGGAGAAGCAGGCAUUAGGAGGCCUGACAGUCAACAUUCUGGGUCACAGAGUGUCAGGAUGAGAUUAGGUGUCAUCAAAGAUGACUCAGAUCCUAAAAUGGAGGCUUUGCUCCCUGAAUAUUUUAUGUGGUAUUUUUAAGCAUGGAUGGUUCUGGCUUAUGGUUAUUAAUGAAGCCAGAACCUUCACAGAGGCAGAGGAAAUAUGGUCUUCAGCAAUCAAGGAUAAUUCUUAUAAUUUUAUAUUCUGAAAAACUGGAAACAAAUGUAAAACAACACAACUGGCUACACUGCUCACUAGCUAGUAAAAUUAUUUUAACCUUGGGUUUUCUCUGUGCAAAGUGUGAGAAUUAAAUGAUCUACCUCAUAAAAUUGUUGUCAGUAUUAAAUUAGAUAAUACAUACAAAAGGUAGAAUAAUGCUCUGUUCAUAUUAAGCACUCAAUAAUAGUUACUUUAUCAUUGGGGAAAAUGAUCUCAAGAGAAUAUCAUCAUAUCCCUAAAAUUGCAUUUCUGGUAAGUUUAUAAUAAGCCAGCACAAUCUUGAAAUUUUAAGUAUGUAAACUCAACUUAACCACAGCUAUAAAAGGUAAGGAAAAAGAGGCCAUAGAAAUUUCUCUUACAUGUUAUAAAUUUUUGCUGUUUUUAAAACAAUAUCUUUAUUGGGAUAUAAUUCACAACCCUAAAAUCUAACCUUUUCAAUAGUACAAUUCAGUAUUUUUUUUUAGUACAUCAGGGAGUUGUGCAAGCAUUACCAGUAACUGGUUUUAGAACAUUUUAUCACUACAAAAUAUAUUCUGUACCCAUUAGCUGUCAUUCAUGAUCCCCUUGCUCCUUCAGCCCCUGGCAACCAUUAACCUACUCUCUACAGGUUUGCCUACUUUGGACAUUUGAUAAAAAUGGUAUCAUAUAAUGUGUAGUCUUUUGUAUCUCAUGUUUUUUACUUAGCAUAUUUUCAAGAUUCAUCCAUGUUUUAGCAUGUCUCAGUCCUUCAUUUCUUUUUAUGGACAAGUAAUAUUCCAUUCUAUUUAAUUAUCCCUUCACUGGUUGAUGACAUUUCAUUGUUUCCACCUUUUGGCUAGUAUGUUGCUAUCAACAUUGAGCAUUAAAGUGUGUGGACUCAUGUUUUCCAUCCUCUUUAGUAUAUGCCUGUGAGUAGAAUUGCUGUGUCAUAUGGUAACCGUAUUUAGCAGUUUGAAGAACUUCCCAACUGAUAGCAGUAUUUUACUAUCUCACCAAUAAUGUAUGAGGGUUCAAAGUUCUCUAUUAUCUUCACCAACAAUUGUCAUCAGCAUUUAUUUUUUUAAAGCCAUGCUUAUGAGUAUGAAGUGGCAUCUUAUUGCUAUUUGGGUGGUGAAAUGGAAAAGUUAAAGAUAUAUAAGCAGUAUGCAUGUUUCAGUUUGAGUGUCAUUUCAUUAAUUUUUAAUAGUCUUGAAAUUGCAUGAUCCCGAAAUUCAAACUCAGCAAUGUCAGAAAAUCUGGAGUGGCAUAUAUACUUAUUUAUAAAUAUUUUAGUAGCAUCAACAUUCUAGUGCAGACCUCUAAGAUAUUUGUUAUCAGUUGAGUGAUUAUUUGGUAUUUAAGUGUAAAUUAACCCAUCAGCUGUUUCUUUGCACCUGGCUUCUUGCUAAAUAGAUUAGAAAGCUAAGUGGACUGAGAACAAGGCAAAGUGAUUUCUCAAAAAGGCAUAAAGAUCUGAACUUGAGGAUGAAUUACCAGACUCUGCUUUGCUGAGCAAAGCGAUGCAGUACUUAACAGGAAAUCAGCUCUACUUAUUAUACUUUCUAAGUAGACUGUCACUUUUUAGUGCAGCUCUUCUCUAGGAGUUAAUUAGGGAGCACUGCUUCUCUUUCUGGGCAAAAUUGCAAUCUUUAUGUAAGCACCAAAGGGGCAGCCCUCUCAUACCCAGAACUUUCAGCUUUGGUGGCCAGGGAAACGGAAAAUGCCUCUAAAACAUGUCUUGCAUAGAUAGGCCUUCUAGGGAAAUUCAGGUAUUGCUGGCCGAGUAAGAGCAUGCCUCUUUUAAAAACCUCUGCUGUUUAUGUUGACACAUUGAUUGCUAUUCACACACUAUUUAGAGCAUGUAUCGAUGUUUGGGUCAUAGAAUCUUUGGAGAGGUAGCUACAUUAGGAAAUAAAUGUAAUCUGUCUUAUACUUUUUCUUAGAGAAAUAUAUCUCAAAACAUCUGUUUUUGAAAAUUUUUACCUUUUGCAGUUCUAGGAAUGGAUUCCGGGGCCUCAUGUGUGCUAGGCCAACACUAAGCAGCACCCCAGCUUUCUAUUUUAAAUCCCAUCUACAUUACUCACAUUCAGAUUGUGGGAUUACAUUACAGUUUUAUAUACAGGCUUAGAUAAAUCUUCAGACAUCAAUGUUUAUAGAAUCUACCCCUGUGUUAGUAACAUAAGUUACUAUAACAAAUACUGAGAAAGUCAAUUUAUAAAAAGAAAAAAAUGUUGUUAUUUUGACUUAUGGUUGUAGCAGUUUUAGUCCCUGAGUAAUUCACCCUGUUACUUUGUGCCUGUGGUGGUACAUCAGGGCAGGAACGUAUGGUGGAGCAAAUUGCUCACCUCGUGGCCAAAAAUUUUUUUGAAAAGAGAAAGAGAAAGAGAUUUGAAUUUCAUAAUCCACUUCAAAGACCCAAUGAACUAAGGCCUAAUGAGCUCCACCUCUCAAGGUUCUACCACCUCCGAAUAGUGCCAUGCUGGAGAACAAGCCUUUACCAUGUGGACCUUGGGGGACACUAAAGCAACCUCAAAUACCACUUUGCACAUGCCACAUACACACUUACUGUCAAAUGGUAUUUAUGCAGCCACAUAUGACUAGUUAAUAACAUUAACAUUAAAAAUUAUCACUUUAUAUUUUAAAUUUAAAACGUCCUUGGAUAGUCAUAAUUUUAGCUAAUUAGCAUUCAGGGCAUUAAAGAUGAUAGUCCAAGAAUUGUUUAAUUCAAAGAAUUUUUAUCUUGUUUUUCAUUUGGUUUAAUUUUCUGAAUUUGAAUCACAACUCAAACUCCAGCAGGGUUGCUCUUACUCCAGUUCUUAGCAAUUGCAUAGAAGACCUUAUAUAUCUUAACUAUGCAAAGAGCUUCAUAAUAUCAAAGUUCAUCUUACAAGUUCAACAAAUUUUAUUGACUGGAAACACUUAAUGUAAGUUUUAGAAUUAGGUUAUUUUGAAACUUAUGAUGGCGUCUCUUAAAUUUUUAAAUCAAGGCAAUAACCAUCAUAACUAGCCCAUUGGCUUGCACUUUAUGCCAGUAAUUGCAAUUAUAAUUAAAGAAGUCUACAUUUAUUUAUAAAAUGUUACCUGGGGGUGUAAAAGCCUUCUCAUACACUAUUAAAACGAUGAUGGUUUUAUAUGCUAUUAAAAUGAGUCAUGCUGAAAUCAUUGCUUACAAGGGCUUUAUCUAAAUGAAAUGGAUAUAAAAAGUAAGUCAUGCCCUGGUAGUAGAGGUCUUUUUUUUUUUUUUUCCCCAUCUGGCAAAUCUAAUAGUACUUGAAAAGAUAUUAAGUCAUGAACAAACUAAUAGCCCGAUUAGAAGAUCAAAUAAACCAUGCCUCUAUGGUUUAUUUUAUUUUAUAUCUUUAAAGUAUUUUUGGUAACAAUUAUUAAUUUGUAUAUUCCAAGCAGAUACAACCUCAGAAACUACAAUGUACAGUUGGCUUUAGCUUGCUUUGGACUAUGUAUCUUCCCAAAGUGAUAAAAACUUUGCCUUGAGAAAAAUGCAUAUGUGCAUACUUAAUUUUACAUAAAAAAUCCCAGGGAUACACAGCCCCUUUGAUAGGACUCCCAUUUAGUUACAAACAUAAAAUAUUUAGUGUGAUUAAGCUAAUCUUAUGAAUGUUUGAAAGUGCUUUGAAAUGUAUUAUUUUUAAGUUUUUCUAUUUUGCAGGAGUACUGAGGAUUGAACUCGGGGGCACUUAACUACUGAGUCACAUCCCCAGUCCUUUCUUGUAUAUAUAUUUUUUAGAGACAGGGUUUCACUGAGUUGCUUAGGGCCUCACUAAAUUGCUGAGGCUGGCUUUGAACUCGCGAUCCCCCUGUCUCAGUCUCCUGAGCUGCUGGGAUUAUAGGAGUAUGCCAUGGUGCUCAGUAUAAGUUAAUCUUUAUCAACAAUGUUGUGGAUUAAUUGUCAGGCAUUUUAACUCUUAUACAGUCAGUUGCAUCUAUGAAUAGUUUUCUUAAGCUUUCAGAAAAGUGUGCAUACAAGUCUGGUCUGUGAUUUGAGCUGGAUUUAUUAAUCUGUCAAUCAAUGCAGGCAAUGGUUAACACUUGCUGCAAGCCCAGGAACAUAAAAUAUUAUAAACUUUUUAAAGAUUGUUUUCUUACCCUCAUUGAAGAGCUGGUUACAAACCUAGAUGGGCACACCAAUUUGCUGAACAGGGUUGGAGAUCAUGCAUUUUCUAGCAUAUAAACCAUAUAUCCAUGAAUUUGUGCCCACAUCAGUCAGAUUGCUUUUGCAUUCACAAAAAAGUGGAUCUAAUUCCACUGUGGGUCAGUGGGUCAGAUCUCUGUGAGAAGAAUUUGUCAGAGUCAUUGUGUACACCAAGGAAAUUUUUUAGGAUCAAUUAGCAAAACAGCAAUUGGGAGACUUUUCUUAGUAGCACUCCAGCCACAGACUUACAGAAUUUUCCUAAAUACGAUCUGUUGUACUUUCAGUGUAGAGUGUAUAUUUAUUUUCUAUUGCUCCAUAAUAAAUUAUCACAAAUUUAAUGGCUAAAGUAAGAGCCAUUUAUUUUAUUUUUAAUUUUUUUAGAUAUUUAUUUUUUUAGCUUUAGGUGGACACAAUAUCUUUAUUUUAUUUUUAUGUGGUGCUGAGGAUCGAACACAGUGCUUCACGUAUGCCAGGCGAGCGCGCUACUACUUGAGCCACAUCCCCAGGCCCGUAACAGCCCUUUAUUAACUCACAGUUCUGUAGGUCAGAAAUCUGGGCAUGAUGUGGUGAGGCUCUCUCUUCUUGGUCUCACAAGACAGAAAUCAUGCUGUUUGGGCUGUGAUUCUUGUCUGAAGCUUGGAGCCAUCCAGGCUUAUUCAGGUAGGGGGCAGGAUCUCAUUCCUUUUGGUUGUAGGACUGCCAUUGCCACUUUCUUACUGGUAGGGUUGUUCUCAGUGCCUAGAGGCUGCCCACUGUUUCCUGCUGUGUGACAAGUCAGCAAUGGAGAGUGUCCCUUGCAUCCAGUUUGUCUCAUGCUUUGAAUCUAUCUUUCCAGGGAAAUCUCAGUCCCUUUAAGAGCUCAUCUGACUUUGUAAGGCCCAAUGAGCAUAAUCUCCCUCUCUUAAGGGAGACUUUAAUAUUGAAACCUAAAUUACUCCUGCAAAAUCCCUUUACAGCAGCACCUUGUUCAGUGUUUGAAAAACUGGGAAAAGGUGUAUGUACACUGGUGGAGAUGGGCAUUGAGAGGGAUCCGUGGGCCUAGGAUCUGGCAGGGGAUACAAGUUGUCUGCUCUUUAGAAAAAGAUAUCAAAACACAUGCAAGCUAUGAGAGGGCAUAUUCUGUGUAUUUGUCAUUGGUAUUUAACCUCAUAGAAAGGGACUUAGCCCAAGGUAUAGAAAAUCUGCUUCUGUCACUAAGUAACCAUGUGAUCUUGGCCAGAUUAGUUUACUUCUCUGAGUCUGGAGCUGCAGGGGUCCAAUAGAUCAGGAAUUCUGAGCCAGGAGGAAGAACUAGAGGAAAACAGUUACUAUAAGUCAUCUUGCAGUUUUUGUAAACCAAGCUUUGCUCCUUCCUUCUCAAGAUGUUAUAACAGAGUUGGGAGGUGGGAAAGAAAGGAUAAUGUUCAGUGUAGAAUUGCUCCUCAGGGCAUCACUGCUCCUUUCACUCAUUCAACACACAUUCAUUGACCACCUACUUUGGGCCAAACUCUGUGCCAGGCACUAGGAUUGCUGGAGUGGAUAAAGAAAAUAGGCUGUUUGCUUCCCUUCCAGCUUCGGAAACAGAGGCAAGUGAGUGUAAGAGGAUGAAGAUUACUGAGUGGGGACCAUAAAGUGUGGCGGGAGCUGAGUACAAGGACCUCCUUGAGGAAGUGAUGCUUGAGUAGGUAAAGAGGCUGGGAAAGGGAUGAAGUGGGUGUGAGAAGGAAGACACUGUUUCAGGCAGAGGAAAUACAUUUAUGAAGAGGUGGAAACUUAAAUGACUGAGGCACAUUUGAGGAGCUAUAAUUAGCCAUUUUGACCCAAGUUGGUACAUGUUUCAUAGCCAGCCUUACAAAUUAUGCUAAUGAGUUUAGAUUUUUUUAUUCUAAGCACAAUGGGAAAAUAUUGAAAAGUUUUAAAUUUGAGUGACUUAAAGAGAUUGGCACGUUAAAAAUAGCACCCUAUGGGGGCUGAGGAUGUAGCUCAGUGGUAGAGCACUUGUUAGCAUGCAUGGGGUCCUGGGCUUAAUCCUCAGGACUGAAAAAAAAAUCAUCCUGGCUGUAGUUUGAAAAAAAUAGUACAGAAGGUGGCUGCAUUAGAGUCAGUGAGACCAUUCCUAAAGGCCAGGCCCAAGAUGUCAAUGGGAAUGGAGAAAAGAAGGCAGAUUUGAAGGAGACAUGGAGAGUCAAAUCAUCUGCACAGUAGUAUACAGUUACAGGAGGUACAGGACUGAAUGUAGCUGCAUGUCCUUUAAUUUAUAGUUUUCCCUUUAUGCAAUGCCCACAGCUAUUCAAGGUAUGCCUUCUCCUUUCACAAGCUCUUUGAGGUUGUACAACAAGAUAGAAAAUCUUCUAUAACUUGCUAGAAUUUACUUAUUCCACUGGGAUAGAACAUUCCCACUGGGAAUAUGUACACAAGAAAAGAUCUGGAUUUUAGGGUCUUGUUUUCUUAUCUGCUCAAUGAGGGAGCUGUAUUGGAAACAUCAAGGACUGAUUCUGCAGCUGACCUCCCUGAACCUCUGGAAGCUAAUCAGAAGCACUGUGUUCAUACUGGUUUCUCCCUACUCUGGCUCAAGUUAUUGCAGGAAUAGAAGAGUCUGCACUGACCCCUGAAUGCAGCACACAUUUGGAUAAAAUCCACCCCUACAGAAGAACUUUUGCACUCCUCCAGGCCCAGGAGUAAUGCAAGGUUAAUGGAGACAGUCAUGCCUGUAAAUUUGGCUUCAUAACUUGAUGUCUCUGGAAUUCACCCAAUGAGUUCACAUGGCAAGCUUAUCUAACUUGAAUACAAGGGUGUAUUCAAUGAGAUUCAAUUUCCCUUUAAUUUCCCCCUCUUUUAGUGGAAGAUGCAUUGAGUAGAAUGAAUGACAUGAAUAUAACAUAAAAUGUAUUGUGUUCUAAAACUUGAUUUUGCUCUGUCCUCAGAAAUCACAGACAAAAUCCUAGUGGAGCUCUGGGCCUGGGAAGAGAUACCUGAAUGCAAUCUUCAGAGGAAAAUCUGCCUGUGGCUCACAUUGCCAACCCAGGCUCCUUCCCAUCAGCAAAACCAAUUGUGAAGCAGAUAUGGUGCUGCUUUCCCAGUAUUAGAGGGCCCAUACCCAGUACAAAAAAAAUACUAUGCGAUUUUACUAGGAUGCACUUUUCUGUUUUCAGAAUGCAUCUCAUAAUUGUUUUUCACAAUUAUGGUUAUUCAUACCCAUAAUUGUAUAACUUUCAGAAAGUGCAUUUUAUUUUAGUCCACUAGAGGGCACCAUAAGGAUUAGGCAUUGUAGCCAACAAGAUUCAACCUUAAUGUUGUCAGCAAUAGACAAAUUCCUGGGGAUUCUCAAACCAGGCUGAUUGCCAAAAGCACUGAAGGAGUAUUUAUUUUUUUAUUUUUAACUUAUUUUCAUUAAAAAUAGAUUUUUAAGGGCAAUUUUAUGUUUGUAGAAAAACUGAACUGAGGGAGAGUUUUAAAAAUAUGUUAUGUAAGGCUGGGGAUGUACUAGGUGGUAGAAUGCUUGCCUAUCACAUUCGAGGUCCUGAAUUUGAUCUCCAGUGCUAAGAAAAAAAAAGUCAGUAUAUAGAUGUCCAGCCCCUGAUCUUGAUCCAGAUUCACAACAUCAGAAUCUUUGGGGUUGAGGCUGAGGAAUUUCCAUUGUAAGCAUUGAUGAUAACUCUUGCCUUUGGCAAGAUCCACUGAACUAUAUAAACUUAUAUCCCAACAAAGGCAGAAAUACACUGAAUGUUUUUAAGCAUAUACAGCAGUAUGUAAAAACAGAGGCUUACAAGGAUUUAAACAUUAAAGAAAAGAGAUGGAAUACUUAGAGAUUGUCAAUAUUUGGAAUAUGAAUCAUCAUUUUUUUUCAAUUAAACCACUUCAACUGUUAAAUAGAAUUCAUGUGCUUUAUUUAGAGCCAGAAGAAAAUCAGAAGACUAUCAUUAAAGGAGGACUUCCCAUUCUAGAAAUAAAAUUUUAGGGACUCCCUACAUCAGAAAACAGUGUACUAUUUCUGAAAUAAGCAUUUCAUGAAAGACUGAUAGAUUCCUGGGGAUCUUCUGCAGGGAACAGAGAUAAAUGCCCUCAAUCCAUUGCCAUCAGACACAGAUGUUUCCAUAGUAUCAAAUACAUCUGGCAAACUGGCCCAAAGUCAAGAACUAGAAUUAUAGGAAGAAAAAAAGCUACAUGGAUUGUCAUAGGGGAGAAUUUAAUAAUUCUAUCCCUGUAAAAAGCAGUUUUAAAUAAAAGGAAGGCAACCUUAUUGAUUUACAGGAAAGUCUGUUUGAUAAUCUAAAUUAUAUGAAAGAAAAUAACUAGCAAUCUAAUUUAGGAAACACCAAACUGCCUCCCCUUUUAAAUACUGCUUCACUGUGGAAAUUUAUACAUUUAUUUGUUUAAACAAAUAUCACAUUACCAGAAUCCUAACAAUAUGAGCAGGUUUUUGUAACAGGUCUCUGAAACCCUAGUUUUAAUAUCAUAUAAAAAUUCAGAACAAUGCUCUGCUCUCCCAAGGUCCACUUGAAUUGGGUAUUUGCCACAAUCUCAUGCCCAGAAUUUUAUUUUUUGAUGUCAGUGUAUUUCCUAAAUCAAAGGUGGAAGGGAUUGCCUCCAGAACUUGCCCCAUCUAAAGAUAUAAAGAUUCUGAGCUAGUCAGACUUGAAACUUUUUUUCUAAAUUAUUGUUUUACAGUCAUUAAAUAAAACAACAAUUUAAAAAAAUGUUUCAAGGCUCAGUAAGCCCAACAGAUCCUGAUAAGUGUGGAAACAAGAUUCCUCUCUCUUAGCUUUUGCCUGAGGAACCUGGGUAGACUGGUUGCAAUCAGAAGUCUUCAUAUUCUUUCUUCAGAAGUUUGUUUACUUGUAUGGAGGCCCAUUAGGCAUCUUAUAACAUAAUCUACCUUAUUAUAAAAGACUAUCCUCUGUUGUGCUUUGUGCUACAGAUACAUUUUAAUACGGGAGCCAGGUAUGGUGGUGCAUGCCUGCAAUCCUAGUGACUUGGUGGUCUGAGGCAGGAGGAUGGCAAGUUCCAAGCCAGCUAUAGCAUUUUAGUGAGGCCCUUGGUGAGACCCUGUCUCAAAAUAAAAAGGGGGUGGGGUCUGGGGAUGUGACACAGUGGGUAAGCACUCCUGGGUUCAAUCCCAUUUGCUGUAAAUAAUAAUAAGAAGAAUAAUAAAUUAUAAGAGAACAGUAGAGAAUUGGAAGAUGAGACAAGGGGCAACGACAGUUUUAGGUGUAGAAGAUAAAGACUCUUUAUCUUCAAACUAACAUUUGGCAAGGAGGACUUAUGAGGGAGAAAAAUAACCUAUAGUCAAAUCUUCCAAGUAAAGCAUGCAAAUGAAUAAACUUUCAUUUCCAGCUAACUCUUGACUCUAUGUCUUUUGCAGCAUAAUCAUGCUUUUUUUUUUUUUUUCUUUUUUCUCCUUGUGGUACUGGGGAUUGAACCCAGUGAGGAUCUCUAUCAUUGAACUACAUCCCUGGCCCUUUUAGUUUAUUUAUUUUUUUUUAAAUAUCAAGAUGGAGUCUCACUAAGAUGUCCAGCUUGGCCUUGAGCUUGCCAUAUCGUCCCAUAGCCUCACAAGUCACAGGCCUCCCAAGUCUGGCUCAUGUCUCAUUUUGAGAAUAAAAAUUAAAAAUUUUGUUCCCCCCAUAAAAACAUUAUUUAUUUAUUUCUCCUUUGAAAUAACAAAUGCCAAAUUCUCUAUAGGAUUUAAUGACACUGAGUAUCAAAAUAAAUAUUAUUGCUCUCAUAAUAAAGAAUAAUUUUACAUUGUUAGCCAGCCUCUAAUAACUGCAGAAUCAGUUCUUGUCCUUUGCCUUAUCCCUUCUGCUAAGAAUUUUGGUCCUAUCAGCUUGUGGUUGCAAAAACAGUACAAUUUGCAAUGUUAGUUGGCAGCAAACUCUGUCACUCCUACUGGGCUGGCUUGGCUAAAGGACAAGAGCUAUUGUUUCAGGUUCUGAUGCAGCUCCAACCCCACGAGAUCACUACAAUUGUCUUCUGGUGCUACAACAGCUGCGCGGAUCCGGGUCUCAGUAAUUCCUGCACAUCAGGUCUAUAUUUUUGAAGAAAAAGUUAAUUAAUAUUGUAAAUACCGCUUUUCAUUUAUUUGCAAAUUUCUCUUAUUUACUCAAUCUCUUAUUAUCUUAUACCGCUAGCCACUCCACACUUCUGCCUUGUCUCACUAACCUGUGAGAGACAUCUCUAAUGGGUCACAACUCAUUUCUCUUUUGAGUGGGGAGAGUCCUCUAAUCCUCUACAACAUAAUGAUCCAAGUAGUUGCUACUGCGUUGGAUGGUGGCACUUGGGAUGACAUCUAUUUAUUACUCUGGCUUUAAGUUGUUCUUUCAGGAACAUUAGAUUCAAUUACUGGUCACAUUUCCCUUGGUGCUGACGAGCUUAGAGAAUGGGUUGAACUGGGACCCAGAUGUUCACAGAAUGCUGCUUUCAUUUUAAUCAACACUUAGACUUGAAAAUAUCAGAGGACAAAGAGCCAAUGAGGCCAUAAAGACAGGAUUUGGUCAUAAACAUUACUGGUCUGGGACUUCUCAAUGAGUUGAAGAACUGAGUCAUAGUAAUUCUUGUUUGAUUUUACUUGUUUACACCCAUUUGCGGAUAUUAUGUCUAACCAAUUAAUGAUAAUUUCAUCAGAGGUUUGAGAAUUAUUAAAUUCUCAGGAGGAAGCACAUAUUCAGAAGAUAAAAAUUGGCAAAGAAAAAUUGGCACGUAAAUAAGCUCUACUAAUUGGUUGUUGCCAACUGCAUUCCGCAGCUCAGUCCCUACACAGGCUUUUCCAAAUGAGUUUUAUUUUUUCUAGAUUGGUUUACUAGUUUAUUAUGAAUGAUCUUAACUGAUUAAAAAUAUCAGACAAUUUAUAUUUCCACUUUUGGAAGUAUGGUAGAUUAGUCAUCCGGAAUGGUUUUCCUAUUUGAAACGCUGAAAUAUUGGGCAAGUUGUUUUUAAACUUUUAUUUUUUUAAUGUACUGGUCCUCUAACAGGAAAGUAAGGUUGCAGACUUUCCACACUGAGAUGAAAGAAGAAUUCUGGAAGUAAGCAGGUUCAAACUUGUCUGCUCUAAAGGUUCCUGUUAAACCUCAGAGACCCAGGACCCCUUUAGCUUCAUGCAUGGAAUAUGGUGCCAGGAAGCAAAGCCCAGGGCCUGCCCUAAAUACAAAUCCAACAGAGGCAUCCACAUCCAAUGAGACCCCAAAAGGCUACUCCUUGGUCUCAGAGUGAUAAGAAAAAGCCCAGAACAGAGUAGGCAAUGAGAAAUCUUGUCUGUCUUGACCUUGACACCAAGUGAAAGGACAAAGUUCAAUUUUGUAGAGACUUCAUGGUGCAAUGCUGGGUUCAUAUGGGCAAGCAUUCUGAAUCUGUGCUGCCCAUGUGGUCAGAAAACCUUCAGGUGCUGAAUAUAAUUUAAAGUGGCCCCAGGUUGGUGAUGCUCUGGAUGACUGGCAAAAACAACAGGCUUUAAGCAAAUAAAAAUGGAGAAAGUCUCCAUUACAUGAUUACUGUGAAAGAAAACUCUGAAGUUUCUAUAUAACAUAGGAGAAGGUAAAAUUGUCCCAAUCAGAAGGUCUGAGAUGCAAGAAGGAAUGGCAAGAUUUAGCAAGACUAUUGCUAAAUCUGUGGAUAAAUGUAAAUGUAUAUUGUAUAAAAUAAUAAUAUUUUACUUGUGGGAGAAAAGCAAGGUAAAACUGAAAUAUUAGACAACAAUGGCUUGUACAGGGGGGAGGUGUAAAGAGUUAAACAUUUUCUAAGAUUUUUUUUAAAGAGAGAGAGAGAGAGAUAAUUUUUUAGUAUUUAUUUUUAGUUUUCGGUGGACACAACAUCUUUAUUUGUAUGUGGUGCUGAGGAUCGAAUCCAGUGCCGCACGCAUGCCAGGCGAGCUUGCUACCGCUUGAGCCACAUCCCUAGCCCCUAAGGUUUUUUAUAUUAUUUAGGAUGGAAAUAAAAUAUUGAUUAAAUGUAGUUUUAAAGUAUGUAUGUGAAACUAGCUUUAGUUGCCAUUAAAAGGCUAGAUAUAGUAUAACUUGCAAAUAAAUAAAUAAUGAAAACAUAAUGGGAAAAACAAAACAGAAAAGCCUUAGUCAAUAUAAAUGAAGGCAAGAGAGCUGAGGAAAAAAGAUAAAAAAGAAAUAGAAAGGAAGAUAGAUAGAAAGUAUAUGCUACAGUUCUAGAGAUAAAUCCACAUACAACAGUAACCACAAUAACUUGAGUUAAAGAGAAAUUUUUUCAAAUGAAAUAAAAUACUGCCACAUGCUUUCUAUGAGAGACAUAGCUAAACAUAAAAACACAAAGAUUGAAAAUCAAAGGAUUAGAAAAAUAACACAGGGCUGGGGAUGUGGCUCAAGUGGUAGCGCACUCUCCUGGCAUGCGUGCGGCCCGGGGUUCGAUCCUCAGCACCACAUACAAACAAAGAUGUUGUGUCUGCCAAAAACUAAAAAAUAAAUAUGAAAAUUCUCUCUCUCUCUCUCUUUAAAAAAAAAAAGAAAAAUAACACAAACUACAUCUAAAGAAAACCUAGAGGAUAUAUUGGUCAAAAGGUAUAAAGUUUUCAUCAAGAUGAAUAAAUUCUGGGGAUCUAUAAUACAGCAUGGUAAGUGUAGUUAAUAAUAAUAUAUGUUUGAAAUUUGCUAAGAAAAUAGAUCUUCAAUACUUUCAUCCCAAAAAUAUUUAAGUGAGAGAAGUGAUGUGUGAAUUAUCUUGAUGUAAUCAUUUGGAAAUGUAUACAUAUAUCAAAACAUCACAUUGUGCAUCAUAAAUAUUUAUAUAUACACAUGCAAGUAAUUUUAAUUUGUCAAUUACAGUUUAAUAAAUCUGGGAGAAAAAGAUGUGAAUAAAAAUUAGUUUAUGCUCCCCUCAAAGGAAAACUGGUUAAAUUAAUAUUAAGCAAUAUAUAGUUUAUGGGUUAAAUAUGAAACUACUUCAUGAUGAAAAAGUUAAAUUUGGAUGAUUGGACUCAAAAUUAAGUGAUGGUUUUGGGAGGUGGGACUUUUGAGAGGGGAUUAGAUUCUGAAGACAGAGUUAUCCUGAAUGGGGUGAGGGCAUUUAUGAAAUAAGCCCAAGAGGCUCCCUUGCCCCUCCUACUGUGUGAUGACACAUGGAGAAGGUGCCAUCUGUGAACCAGAAAGUGGGCCUUCUUUAGACACAAAUCCCCUGGUGAUAUUUGUUGUUGUUUCUCUAUCUAGAAUUCUAAAAUUGUAACGAUUUAUUCAAAGCAUAACCAAAAUGCUUAAAACUUUUUCUCUUCCUUCUUUUUCUUUAGAAGCAAAGAACUCUGACAAUCAGUCAUGAUACCUUGACAGCAAAAGGAGAUGAGCUAAAUAAGCAGCUCAAAGAGUAGUGUUUAAAAGCCUUCAAGCUUAAGAAACAAUUAUAUUCUGUGACAUUUUUUGAAAGAAGAUUAGAAGAGGUAAUCUCCCAAAGAGUUUUCUGCCGAUGCUUUGAUUUGGAUUUCCAGCCUCCAGAAGUACAAGUAAAGUUUUUCUGUUAUUUACUACUUCAUUGCAUGGUAUUUUGUUAUAGCAGACUGAACAGACUAAGACAAUGAUAUAACAAAUCAAAACUUGCAUAUACUUAAUGACAUCGCAAAAUAUAGAGAGUAAAACUGGGCAUUACUUCAAAUGUACAUUGAUAAAUCCACAAGCAUAAUGGGAGAUAUUAAAUAUCUAUCAUAGUGAAUGACAGAUAAAGCAGACAAAAUAUCUAUAAGGACAGAGAAGAUUUAAAGAACAAAAUUGGUAAACUCAAUCCUCCAAAUUAGAGUCUACCCAUUCUUUUGAAGUAUAUAUGAUGUUUCGAAACUGACAUUGUCAUAACCAGAGCUUUUGUAUUUACUUUGUAGUGAGCUACUUCAAGUCAAAGGACUGGUAUCAUUUAGAUCACUUCACUAACCACAACACAACCAAAUUAGGAGUCAUUAAACAAAUACAAAUAGAAUAAUUCUAUAUAUUUAAAUAUUCUGAAACCACAUGUACCUAAGGAUCAAAGAAAAAGAUUACAGUAAUUAGAAAAUAUUACAUUCUGAAUCAUAAAAAUACUGCUCAUCAAAUCUCUGGGGAGUCAUAUGAAGUAGUUAGUAAAACUUAUUGUGCUUGUCAGUUUUCCAUCAUUGUGACAAAAUACUUGAAAUAAUCAACUUAUAAGGAGGAAAGAUUAAUUUUGACUUAUGUUUCACAGUUUCAAGUUCAUAGUCACUUGACUCUGUUGCUUUUGGGCCUGUGGUGAGGCAGAGCUUCAUGGCAGGGAGUGCAUGAUAGAACAAAGCCCCUUGCCUCAUGGUCCUCUGAAAGCAAAGAGAGAGAGAGUAGCAGCCCCAGUCCCAAUACCAGCUUCAGGAGUACACCCCUAAUGGCCUAACUUCCUUCCUCUAGCCCCACCUCUUGAAUGCUCUAUAACUUCCAAAAUAGCGCCACUAAUUGGUGACCAAGCCUUGGAAGUUUGUACACACAGCCUAUAGCAGAUGUCAAAUAUUAAAAUGUUGAAAGUAUUCCUCCUAAGAGAAAAAGACAUCAGAGCAUUAUUACUACUUCUAUUCGGCACUGUGUAAUAGACAUGAAAAAUUAAAUGUUUAAAUAUUAAAAGGAAGAAGCAAAACAACUGUGAUUUGCCGGUUGUUGAUUGUCUAUGAUGAAAAUAAUCUAAAAAUAAUUACAAUUAAAAAAAGUUUGUCAGCAUCACUAGAAGCAAAAUAAAUAUAUAUGUGUAUGUGUCAGUCAUAUUUCUAUAAGUUAGCAAUGAUUAUGUAAAAACUUUAUGUAAAAAUACCAUUUACAGUGGCCUAAAAUAGAAAAUAAUUGAAAAUAAAUAUAAAAAUGUAUAAUCAACGUAUGGAGAAAAUGAUUAAAACUUUUAAAAAAAUAUUGAAGAAUACCUGACUGGAAAGACAGAUAAUGUUUGUGUAUAGAAAACAGUUUUGUAAAGAUUUAAAUUCUUCCACAUUCAUCUAUAAAUUUAAUGAAAUUCCAAUACAACAAAAACCUUCACUGUGGCUUUUGUGGAGUCUGACAAGCUGAUUUGAAAAUUUACAUGAAGGAUUGAAAGACCAAGGAGGAAGAAUGGUGGAAAACUUGUACUACAGGGUAUGAAAACUUAUUAGACUUUGUAAUUAAGAAUAAUGAUGUCCGGGCUGGGGAUGUAGCUCAGUGGUAGAGCACUUACCAAGAAUGUGUGAGGCCCUAGAUUGUAGCAACAGUUCUGGAAAAAAACAAAACAAAAAAAACCAAAACCAAAAAAAAUACACUUUAUCUUAUAUUGUAACCAAAAAUCAAUCUACAUUGUAAAAGAAUUAAUGUGAAAGGCAAAUCCAGAAAAUUUUAGAAUAGCAGAUAGGGGAAUAUCUUCAAGAACUUGAGUAAGGGAGGGUUCUUAAAGAAGACACAGAAGUGCAAACUAACAUGGGAAAAGAUUAAUGCAUUAUAUAGUCAAUUAUAUUAAAAUUAGGAACUCAGGCCAUUGGAAGACACAAUAGUGAUAAUGAAAAAGAUAAACUGAAAGUCUAUAGGUUUUUGCAACUUGUAUUAUUGACAAAAAAUUAGUAUCUAGAAUAUAAAGUUGAUGUCAGAGGUUCCCAGGUGAAGAGUGCCAGUACAUCUUUAUAACAUGGCAGCUGGCUUCUUUCAGGAUGACUGAUUCCAAAGAUGGUCAAGAUCUCUGAUGUCCUUCGUGAUCUUGCCUCAGAGAUCACAGUCCAUCAUUUUUUAAAUAUCUUUUUGCUUACACCAAUCAGCUGUGUUCAUCGUGAGAGUGUAUUUCAUAAGGAUGUGAUUACCAAGAGGUGAGAACCUUCUGUGAGGCUAGUUACCAAAAUUACACAUCUGAAAAAUUGACAAAAAUUAAAAAGUCUCUCACUCCCUAUCAUGAAAGGGACACAGUCACAUGCACCAGAGUUGUAAGGAUAAUUCGUAGGCAGAAGAGUUAUCAUGCUGUAUGGAUUCUCCUUCACUUGCCAUUCUUUUGGGGAGAAAGAAAGACUUGAGGGCUAAUCAGCCAAGUUGUCUUUCCUCAGUCCAGGGAUGUGGAGCAAUGGAAAAACUAUUUUGUGGUAAUAUAAACUGUGGGAAUAGAAAUAAGCUUGUGGGAUUAUAAACUGGAACAACCAUAUCCAAAAAUAUGUGGGCUUCCUGGAAAAACUGAACUUGUGCCCAACCUGUGAUCCAGAAACUCCACUCCUAUCAAGUACCUUAAAGACACCUUUGCACAUGUUCACAGCAGUUUAAAUCAAAAGAUCAAAAAUUCAAAAAUAAUCUAUAAGUAGAUAAAAUAAUUAUGGUCUAUGCUAUGGAUUAAAUAUACUUGUGUCCCAUAAGGACCUGUCAUAAAGGCUUGGCUUCCAAGGGGGAGCUGUUGGGAGGUGGUGGAGACUUUGAAAGGUGGGGCCUCCUGAGAGGUCCUUAAGUCCUUAGGGGGAGGUUAUUAUGGUGUGAAUCCUUAAGUUCUUCAGAGAGGAUUACCUUAAAAGGAACAAGCCUGGUCUGGUUCACGUUCCCUUCUGCUCCUGUUGGAGAUGUGAUGAUCCUUCCAAUAGUACUCCUGCCAUGGCUUCACUCCAUGAAGUGAUACAGCCCCCAUGAGGCCUGAGCUCUAUGACCUUGAAUCUCCAAAACUCUGAGAUAACUAUAUCUUUUAUUUUUAUGAAGUCAGUUGCCUCAGGUAUUUCACACUUCAUUGUGUUUGACUGGUUAUACAAUAUAGACAUUUCUCCUUAUGAUAUACCAUUACGGGUUUAGUUACUAUGUAUGUCAUAUAGAAAAGAAAAAUACUUCAGUCAACGGAGUGGUAUUUCACUGAAGUAACACAAACUGACCAUUACGUUAUAUCUAUAAAGUGGAAUACUAUAUGGUAAUGCCAAAAUCAGUGAACUACAUACAGGUACAUGUAACAACCUUAGGGAAUCUGAAAAACAAUGUUGAACAAAAGAUUCAAGUCAUGAGGGAAUAGACUCAAUAUAUUUUUUUAGAGAGCCAUAUGUAUGAAGUAAAACUGUAAAGAAAAGCCAGAGAAUGAUCAAUACAAAACAUAGGAUGGUGGCUAUUUCUGUGGGAAAGCAAUCAAGAAGCAAUUGGAGACGGGUUCAUAAAAGGUUUUAAGGAACUGCUGAUAUUCUACUUCUCAAUAUAAAGAGCUCGAUAGAGAGCUUAUUAUUCUUUAAACUCUACUGAGACAUUUAUACAGUCCUUUUGUAAAAAUGAUAUGCUUCACAAUGAAAAACAUUGAAAAUUAAAGUGUUCUUUAAAAAGGACACAAUUUAAAAUGUCAGAGCUAUUUCAGUGAGCAAUGAAUGUUCUUAAAUAUUCAUCAUUAUGCAUCAAGCAUCUCCCCAUCCUCCAUUCUUCCCUGUCAAAAUAGAAAAGUAUAAAUGUACCGAGCCUGGAAAAGAGAGUGGAGUUUCCUUAAUUUGAAAAUGUUAUGCCAAAAGGCAUAGUAAUUUGCCUGGGUCCACUGAUUCUUUGUCUGGCUCCAGAGCUCUGAUGUGGAAUUUCAGGAGAAGAGUUAAGUAGCAGCCCCAAUCCCAACUUUGUGCAAGAGAAAAAUUAGAAUUUAGUCAAAACUGACUUAUUGGGUGAAUUCUAUUUUUCAGGUCUGUAGCAUCCAUAAUUUUAAUCUUGAAAUAUACAUUGCCUUCUUUAUUCUCCUGAUUGUUAUUCAAAGUUUCAGACAAGAAAUUUUAGCAACUUCACUAUUACCUAAGUGGCUUUUUUAAAUUGUUGGUUGUUCAAAACAUUACAUAGUUCUUGAUAUAUCAUAUUUCACACUUUGAUUCAAGUGGGUUAUGAACUCCCAUUUUUACNCGAGAAGGGGAAUAGCUGGGUCAAAUGGUGGUUCCAUUCCCAGCUUUCCAAGAAAUCUCCAUACUGCUUUCCAAAUUGGCUGCACCAAUUUGCAGUCCCACCAGCAAUGUACAAGUCUAAGUGGCUUUAAAUACUAGGGUUCUGAUGAUUAAAAUUUAGUAGAAAGAAUAUUUCCAGAAAUAAAGACAUUUUUUUCUAAUGCAUAUACUAAUCACUAAAGUUUUAGAAAGUAAAACUCUUGCCAAAUCAUAGAUACCUUCAAUAAUGUAUAUGCAUUUUAAUUACAUAAUUAUAUAAAAAUAAUUCACUGGUACAAAAAAUCAGCAGCAUAGAUUUGAUAUACCCAUGUAUCACAUAGAGAGUUCUUUGGUUGCAAGCCACCAAGUUCAAGUAUGAUUUGAGUCUGCUGCAGUCCGGCUGGGGGGGGGGGUGACGAGCAACUUGUGUAGAUUGAUACAGCAGGAGUAGGAGCCAUUUAUUGUAGGAUAGGAGUGGUAUAUAUACAUUCCACACAGCUUAUCUUAAUUAACAUAAAAUAGAUCCAUCAGUCAACCAAUAAGGAAUCUCCACACUUAAUGGCUCACUGGCUACUUCACAAACCACUCCCUCUGGCAAAAUGCCAGGCGCCAUCCAGUCUUGUUUACAGACCUUAACAUUAACCACUCCCCUCUGGCAAAAUGCCAGGCGCCAUCCAGACUUAUUUACAGACUCUAACAUGAGUCGAACUAAAAAAAGAAUUUCCAGAAAGGAUAUGGAAAGUUUUAUCAAAGUGAAGAAGCAACUGAGCAACUAGACUUUGAAAGGCAGGAAUUAUAGUAGCUCUAGGAAUCUACAUAAUGGGACUUAAUGGGCAGUACUUUUUUCCCUAGGUACAAUAAUCAAAAUAGAUUAGCUUCACUAUUUUUUUGAUUCAUCUGCCAUUGUGCUCAACUUUCAAAUUCCUGCUAUGAUCUGGACUGAUUUGGGUCAUGUGACCAUUUCUUGAUAAGAGGAAAGUACAUUUUAAUGGACAUUUUCUCUAAGACUGCUACUGUUAUAGGGUUGCAUAUCAGGUGAGGGGCAAGAUUUUCCAAAGGUGCUGUUACUGAAAGAACAUUGAGGUUGGGUUGGCAAAAGAGUGGAUAACCACUCUAUGUCCUUUAACAGAAAUUAUUUUUGCUGAAAUAUUCUUAUUCAGAAUCAUUGCACAAAAUAAAUUAAUGUUACAAACAUCUAGGCACUGUCCAAGUCUGCUGGUCUGCACAGCUUAAACAGCAGAAAUUUAUUUUCUCAUAGUUCUGGAAGCUGGGUGUGUAGAUUGGGAUUCCAGCAGUUGGGUUCUGGUGAGGGCAUUGUUCCUGUCUUGUGGACAACUUCCAUCUCUCAGAGUCCUCAUAUGUAUGGCCUUUGCUCAAAGCAUGUCUGUGGAUAGAGACCACUCUCUUCCUCUUAUCAGAUGACAAAUCCUAAUAGUUUAAGACCUCUCAUUUAACCUUAAUUACCUCCUAAAAGUCCCACUUCCAACAACAGUCAUAUUGGACCUCAUUUAAUCUUCAUUACUUCCUAAAGGCUCUUUCUAGAAACAGUCACCUCGGCGGUUUAUGGCUUCAACGUAUAAAUUUGUAGGACAUAAUUUUAUUCAUGGGACUCACGAUUUGCUACUUCAUUUUUGAUCAUUUUCUCAUCUCUCCAUUUAAAUAUGAUUUCAAAGUCCAGUGAGUAAGUGCCAGCCAUUUCCUGCGUCAUCUGUCAGGGGUUUGUCAGCCUCUGUGGGGAUCACUGCUGUUGGGCCCUUCCUCUCCUCCUUCUAGACCAAGCAGCGCUGUGCUCAAGGCCAAGGGCCUAUCUCCAAUGUCCAUGUGCCAGGCUGGCUUGCUGAGUCUAUUCCUGUUCUGCAGUUCAUCUCUACUGCACUCAGUGCUCUCAUCUUUGUAGUUUCCUCUUUCCAUUUUUCAGACACCUAACAGGAAUUACUUGGAGGAAUUGUGUGAAAUCGAAGGAACACACGGAAGUCAGAGCACCUGUGUUCCAUUCCUAGUUCCAGCACUUCCAAACUGUGUGACUUUAGGGAAAUCAUUUAAACUUCAGUAAGUUCAUUAUGCCACAAGCUUUCUUACUUGUGGGUGUUGUGCUAGAUAUUGGGAAAUCGGUGAUAUGAGCUUUGAAGGCCACAGUAUAAGAUGCUGCAAGAGCAUGAAGCUGGGGUGGUAACAGUGACUGUGAAGUACAGAUCGCAGACGGCUUUCCUGAGGAAAUGGCUCUUGGGAGAGAAAUUAAGAAUGAGUAGGAGUCAUCUGGGAGAAACGGGGGAGUGCAGACCUUGAGGUGGAGGCCUGGGUACGUUGGGAAGAGUGGUGAUGCAGUAUGAGGCUGGGCAAGGCAGAGGCAUCCAUCAUGCCCUGAAAACAGUUUGUUCUCCCUUCCAGCUCCUGUGGGGAUACAGCACGUGCUUGGGCAUGUGUUUUUGAAAGAUCAUACUACAACAUGGGGGAGUACUGGAAAGCAGUAGAGGUGGCUGUUACGGUUUAGAGGUGAGGUAUUCCACAAAAGCUCAUGUGUGAGACAAUGCAAGAAAGUUUAGAGGUAAAACAAUUGGUUUAUGAAAGCCUUAACCAAAUCAGUGUAUUAAUUCCUUGAAUGGAUUACCUGGGUGAUAACUGUAGGCAGGUGGGGAGUCGCUGGAGGAGGUAGGUCCCUGGCAGUAUGCCUGUGUGGUACAUGUUUUGUCCCCGGUGAAUGGCAGGGCUCUCUCUGCCCUCCGAUUGUCAUGUCCUGAGCUGCUUUCCUCCUGCACACCCUUCUACCUCACUCCAUGGAGUAGGCCAUCUCUGGACUUAAAACUUCUGAAACCUUGAGCCCCCCAAAUAAACUUUUCCUCUAAAAAUGAUCUUGUCAGGUAUUUUGGUCACAGAGGUGAAAAAACUGGCUAGAACAGUGAUUGUGGCUAGUUCAGUGAAGUGGCGCCAAAGAGCAACGGUUUAGAAUUGGACAGGAAAAAUAGAGAUAAAUAAACAUGUGAGUCAUUUCUUAAACAGGCCACGGUGCCUACAGAUUGUAUUACAUCUGCCUAACCAGUCCAUAGUGUUGUUUUCUGACUUGUGCACUCAAAAACAAUUAUUGAGAAAUUACCACAUGUUAGACGUGUUUCUAGAUGCCCAACAUACAGAACAAAAUAAAGACUGGGACCUCACGAAGCUGACUUCCUAGUAAAAUUGUUUGCAUUCUAGUGUGAUUAUUCUAGAUGGGAUUAAAUGCUCUAUGCAAGCUAUCAAAAAUAUGAAUGGGUACUGUGGGAUUUGUAGUUUUUUUGAACUCAAGAGAACAGUCUUCCUCAACUUCCUCCCUGUAUUAGUUUCCUUUUGCUGCCAUCAUAACAACUUCUUACAAACAUUAAAGCUUAAAAUGACACAAAUGUAUUAUCUUGAAAUUUGGAGGUUAGAAGGCUAAAAUGGCCGUCACGGAGCCCAAACACAGCAGCCAUAGAGCUACAUCCUGGAGGCUCUCGGGGAGAAUCCAUUUCCUUGCCUUUUCCAACUUCUAGAGGCCACCUGCAUUCCUGGCUCAUGGCUAUUGUCUCUCUUCAAAACCGACAAUAGCCAAUUCAGUCUUUCUCUCAUCAUGCCAUUCUGCCCCUCACUCUCCUUUCCUCUCUUUCACUUAUAAGGAUUCUUGUGAUUAUAUUUGGGCCCCACCUGGAUAAUCCCAAAGAACCUCCCCAUCUGGAGAUCUUUCACUUAAUGUCAUCCGCAGUGUCCUUUUUGCCCUGUACAGUGAUGCACUAACAGGUUCUCAGGGUUAGGAUGUGGGCAUCUUUGGGAGUGCCGUCUGCCCUCCCUAUGCACAUGGAGUAUCCCAAGUCAUGAACAGAAGCACGUUUUCUCUUCUCUCUUUUCAGUUGUGUUCACACUGUGCAAAUGAGGAGCAAAGUGGCUGAAAUACAGGGACAACCAAAGUGAAAUCAGUCCUUUUCCUCUGUGCCGGAGAGGUGUCAAGAGAACCCUGGAGAGCUUCCUCUUUAUUAGGGAGUCAAGUGUCAAGUUUGCAGGACUCUUUCAGUGCUGCUGGGGAGAAGGACCCAGCAGGUUGUUUCUGGUUAUUACACUUGACACACUGUUUUCCGAGUAUUCCAGCUAAGGUACAGAAAUCUGUGAGAGUUCUGUGGAGUGAUAUUUCCUACCUACAGGAUUACUACUGGGAAGAAAAGGUGCUCCCUUUAAAGAAUACUCUGACACAUUUUUUAGCACAGAGACAGGAAAAAGAUUCAAAUGAAUAAGAAAAUAUGAAAUUUGUUUUCUGGUAGGGGAAAAGAUUCUAAGCAACUCCUGAAAGCAUUACUCUUUCCCAUAAAGCUACAUAUUUGAGGUAUGAGAAAAACACCACUGGGGAUAUUUAGUGACCCAUUUAAAAUGAAACUAAUUGGCAUUUCAUCAUCAGGGUCCUGGCCGAAAUUUUACGAAUCUCUCCCCAUAGCCCCUGUAGAGGAGCAGCUGAGAAGAAAAGAAGGUUAUGUUCAAGCCCUCUUCUUGCCUUCAAGCAAAUUACAAGGAUUUUUCUGAUUCCACAUAAGAACCUGCCAACUCAGUUACAGUAUGUGAAAAAUUAACCCUUAUAGCUGCACAGUUCAGUGAGAUGCAAGGGAGGUUUGAAGAUGCCUUAAUCUUGGGUGCUCACUCUUCAGCCUUAUACAACUGGGCCUGGCUGGGACUGCCCAGGUCAGUUUGGACCUUAAGGCCCUGGGAUAGGAAGGGUUUAAGGACUGGCAGUGGGGAAUGGUUGAAAAUAUGUGGUUUGAGAGGGAGUCUGGCUAUUAGAAUGUUCAAGAAGACAAGGCAAAUGGCAUAAUCUGCCCUUGUGAGUGUAUGCCUUGGGCAUUACAGAUGAGAAUGUCGAUGAUGCAAGGGUGUGCUGGGAAAGGGGCAGGAGAAUGAGCUUUCUGGUCAUGUGUCUUUUAAGUUUGUAAUUUCCUAUCUACUUGGUCAUCUGGUCAGAUUUCUUUCUUCAAUGGAAAUGAUUCUCGGUUUUCCCUGCUCAUGAGACAGCCCCUGGGAGAAGCAACAAAACUAACCUCCGGCAGAAUGAGCCUCAUCUUUGAAGGACAAAUGCAUGAGAGGCACCCAAUGGGAAAUAUCCACUUUCCUGGACUCACAGGCCUUUCUUUCUUCCAAACAUUUUCAGAAACACUGCCCUCUACUUUCAGUCCUUGUAAUCAGCAUCAUCUCAUCCACACCUUUCAGCUGCUGGCAACUCAAUGCCCGCAGCCUGGUUCCCUCACCUUCCUUCUCUGCAGUUGCAUUCUCAAGUGUCAAAGGCACCAGCGGAAGAACAGAGGCUACUUCUACCAGAAGCAGAGUGUCUCCUUUCCCAUACCCCAAGGAGGGAAAAGGAUGAAAGGGAGGUGAGGGAGACUCUCUCCUUCCCUUUCAGAAUCCUGGCAUCAAAGCUCUGCUAGGAUUUACAUAAGGUACUUUAUUGUGGACUGCAGUUCUAUGGGCUUUUCUAUUAAAGCUAGAAUUGAUUCACUAGGUAAUAAAUGGAAGAAUCCUCCCUAGGCUCUCCAGCAAAAUUACUUAUGCUAUUAGCAGCAUUAAGCAGGCUUUUACAACUGGAGAUAAGCCACCCUGAUGUUCUGUCUAUUGGGAGGUGUGCAAGACAGUGAUACUUCAUAUGGUGGAGAGUAGGUAGCAGGGACAGAGGGAAAGGUGGCCUUUUGUGUCUCUAAGUCCCUUGGUUAGAGUUUUUCAUGUUAGGAAUUGUUCUUUCAUUCUUUCGCUAGAAAUCCACAGCUCAUUAAAACCAACUAGACACAGAGAGCAUAAGAUAACAACCACUUUAAAACUCUGACUUUGCCUUAGGGUUUAGCAACCUGCCUAUUCAAAUUGCCCUGGUUUUGAUCUUAAAGCAAAGCUGCCUCUGUAAAUAAAUCACCAGGUAGCCCUGUCCAUGGCUCUGAGACGUCUGUGUUACUGAGCUUGUCACUUCUCUCUUUUAGCUGCCUGCAGUUCCACAGACCAGUGCAAGUCUGCACAACCUGAGCUGCUGGUUGCAGGCUGCUGAGCUGUUGAAUGAGAGAAGGUCAGUGGAAUGCUGUGGCUGAACUCCAUUAAAAGUUCAUCUCAGGGCCCCAGAGUCACAUACUCUGGAAGGAGGUCACAUGAUAGGUAUUCUGUAGCCUCUUUUAUAAUAGAAAAGUUCCAAAACUGUUUAAAUGAACUCUUAUAUUAUUGUUGUUGUUACAUAUUCUCCUUGAAGGAAUCACAUAAUGAGUUCUUUGUCAACCCAAAUAAGCCUCUCUUAUUUUAUCUCUUCUUGAAAUGCUGAUUGUCAUAUGUGGAAAAUGGUUUUCCUCACAAGUACAGGAAACAUGGGCAAGUAGGUCAUUUACCAGCAAUACAAACUGUUGAGAGUUAAUCAUUCCCACCCCUAUUCCCAGUAAAUCUGUUUUGUGUGUCCCAACUUGGCAUACAUUUUGUAGAACAUGGGCGAACAUCUGAAGACAAUAUAUCUGUUAGGCAGCCCAGGCCUCUCUGGUGUGUGGUAUUUUUUAAUGUGGUGACUCUUGAAUAGGCUGGGGAAGGACAUGGUGACCUUGCAAUCCUAAUGGUUCUGACGGUCUCACUCCCUGGGACACAGUGUCUUCCAAGACAAAGAGGGCAAUGCAAAGCAGCAGAGAGUGUGUUCUUCAGACACCAAAAGCAAAAAAAAAAAAAAAAGAAAAAAAAAGAAAAAAGAAAAGAAACCUUAAGGAGCCAGGUUUUGUAUACUGAAGUUCACCUUAAUGCGCUUCCUCCUCUGGCGGAUGAAAAUGACAUUGAACAUUUAACAACUCACAUUUAAUGCAGUCCCAGUUGGAGCCAGAGUGGCACUCAAUAAACAAGAAUGGACAUGACACUCUAAAUCAAGCAACACAGGGAGAAGGAAUUUCUUGAAUUCAAAAGGAUACAGAAGCUAAAUGUCACUUCAGCUGUGACCAUUACUCCCAGCCAGUAUGAGGCUUCAACAUUUACAAAAUGCAUUUAAUUCCUACAGAAAUCUGGAGGGUGAGCAUGCUGGCUUGAAUUGUGUCUUCCCAAAGGAUAUGCUAAAGUCUAAACAUCAGUGCCUGUGAUGUGACCUUAUUUAGAAAUAGGAUCUUUGCAGACAUAGCCAAGUUAAGGUGAGGUCACACUGGAUUAGCACGGGCCCUAAUCCAGUUACUGGUGUCCUUAUAAAAUGAGGGAAAUAUAGACACACAGAAAAGAGAAAGCCAAGCGAAGACACAGACACACCAGGGGAAGAUGGCAGAUACUGAGUUAUAAAGCAGUGAGCCAAGGGCUCCAGAAACCGAGGAGAAGUAUGGGACACAUUCUCCCUCUGAUCUUGCAAGAAGGAACCAACUCUAAUGACACCUUGAUUUUGGAUUUUUGGUGCCUAGAUCUGUGGGGGAAAAAAAUUCUGCUAUUUUAAGCCACACAGUUUUUGGUACUUUGUUAUGGCAUCCCUAGCAAAUUAAUAAGUGAGUAUUCCAUUUAUAGGGUGAAAACACAGAUUUCAGAGAUGCUUAGGAAUUUGCCCAAGAUUAUAUAGCAGGUAAACUGUUCCAAUGGGGACUUGAAACCCAGAGUUGUAAUGACAAGUCCUAGACCUUUUUCUCCACGUGACCUUGUCUUACAGGAUGUGCGUUACAUGGGCCUGUUUAGAAAAUUAACUGAUCUCUAUGUCUGAAAACAGUUGGCAUGGAAUAAUAAAGAGAUGUGUAGAAAUUCUAUUUCUGGGUAUAUACCCAAAGGAAUUGAAGGCAGGGCCUCAAAGAGACCCUGUAUGUUCACUGCAUUAUUCGCAAUAGCCAUGAAGUAGAAACAACUGAAGUAUCCCAAACAGAUGAAUGGAUAAACAAGAUGUGGUCAUGUAAGGGACUGUUUUUCAGGCUUAAAAAAGAAUGAAAUUAUGACAUGGCUGCAAUUUAGAUAAGUCACUGGGACAUUAUGCUAAGUGAAAUAAAUCAGUCACAAAAAGACAAAUACGGCAUGAUCGUUUACAUGAGGGACAUAUAGAAUAAUCGAAGCCAAAAGGAAAUAGGAAAUUAAUUAUCUGGCAUCAAAUUUCCAUUUUAUAAGAUGAAAGAGUUCCUGUUUUAGUCAUCUUUUUUUUGCUGCUGUGACUAAAGGACCUGACCAGAAAAACUGUGAGGGGGGGGGGAAGUUUAUUUGGGGACUCACAGUUUCAGAGUUCUCAGUUCAUAGACGGUAGGCUCCAUUCCUCGGGGCUCAAGGUGAGGCAGAACAUCAUGGCAGAAGAAGUAUGAGGAGGAAAGGGGUUCACAUGAUGACUAGGAAGCAAAGAGAGGCUCACCAAAUAUACACCCCAAAAGGCAUACCCCACAAUGACCCACCUCCUCUAGACACAUCCUAUCCGCCUUCAGUUAACACUUAGUUAAUCCCAUCAGGGGAUUAAUUCACUGAUUAUGUUAAGGCUCUCAUAACCCAGGCAUAUCUUCUCUAAACCUUCUUGUAUGGUUUUACACAUGAGCUUUGGGGGACACAUCACAUCUAAACCACAACAGUUCCGAAGAUUGAUUUUAUAGCAAUAUGAAUGUAGCUACCACUACUCAGCUGUAUGCUUAAAAAUGAUCAACAUGAUAAUUUUUUUUUGAGAGAGAGAGAGAAAGAUCGAGAAAGAGAGAAGAGAGAGAGAAUUUUUAAAUAUUUAUUUUUUAGUUUUUGGUGGACACAACAUCUUUAUUUUAUUUUAUUUUUUAUGUGGUGUUGAGGAUCAAACCCAGCACCCCGCGCAUGCCAGGCGAGCGCGUUACUGCUUGAGCCACAUCCCCAGCCCAUGAUAAUUUUUUUUUUUAAAGAGAAAGUGAGAUAGAGAAAGGGAGAGAGAGAGAGAGAGAGAAUUUUUAAUAUUUAUUUUUCAGUUAUCGGCGGACACAACAUCUUUGUUUUUAUAUGUGGUGCUGAGGAUCGAACCCGGGCCGCACGCAUGCCAGGCAAGCGCGCUACCGCUUGAGCCACAUCCCCAGCCCCCAUGAUAAUUUUUGUAUGUGUGUUUUUACCACAAUUAAGAGAGAGUGAGAGAUGUGGACAAGUCUUCCUUGUCAUGGCUAUGAGAAUGCUGCUAAAUAGAAGAGGCUGUUUUCCUUACUGGAGAAUACUGCUUCUGCCUGGGGCUUUACCCUAGGGGAGCAUUCAGAAGAAGGGGAUUGCUUACCUUCCUUCAGUGGGGCCUGGAAGCCCACAACUCCAGCACCCACUCAGCCACUAUUAUUCCAAACUGCUGUUAGAGGAAGUUUGGUUCAGGUGUUCAGCAUGUGCUUCAGAGACAGUGCUGUGUUCUUUCAAAACUUAGGGAACAUAACUGUUCUUUGAUAGGAGGUGAAUUAUGCUAGCUUAUGGUGAAGAUGGAAGCCAUGAGGCUCUCUCCAAAGGAACGGUCUCCUUCACCUCCAGAAUCAUGCCUUGUGGUAGCAGAGCUCUGACUGACUGGUGCAGCAUUGGCUUUAACUCCCACAUGAGAAGAGCCCUCAGGCCUGCUGGGGGCUGUCUCCCAGUGUUCUAGAUGGGUGGUUGUAGGGCAGGCUUAAGAUGGCUAUACUUAGGCUUCCUCGCUGAGACUUCCGCAGUUAUGUUUUAGUAUGUAGUCAAGAUCACAGACACCCUGAUUCAGCAUAUUUACUCAAGACCAUCAACAUCUGCUUGUGAGCAUGUGCUUAUUUAUGUAACCUGUUAGCACUGCACUUUCUUUCUUUGGCCUGAACAUAAAAAAAGGCCUAUGGAAAGAUGCUGGAAGACCGGAGCUGCUGCCACCAUCAAAUAAGGCAUGUCUACAUUGAAUUGUGCCUCUCGUCUUCCUUCACUUGUCAGGAUCCUUAAUCUCUCAGGGGCUGAGCCCUUGCAGGACAGUGGUACAUGCCUUUAGAGAUGGUCCCUGAUUUACAGUGGUUAGACUUAGGAUUUUUUUUUUUUUUUUGUCAUUAGGAUGGUGUGAAAGAGAUAUGCCUUCAGUUGAAACUACUUCAAAUUUUGACUUUUGAUCUUUUCCUGGGUUAGCAAUGUACUGUAGAUUCUCUCAUGAUGCCCACCGUAGGUGGAGGUAAGCAUUCUGAACUCGAUUAAGGUAGGUGAGGCUGAGCUGUGACGGUCAGUAAUUCAGAUGUGUUAAAUGCAUUUUCUACAUACAUAUUUUCAACUCAAUGAUGGGUAAUUUAUGACCCAUCAUAAGAUAAGGAGCCUUUAGUAUUUUGCACCUAGCUGGCACACACAUUCACAGUCUGAUUUAUUGGACAUUUACAACUUGUUCUGCUGAGAGUUUAGGAAAUGCAAAGGGGGCAUCACAGACCUAUAAAUGUCAUGGUUCUAAUGAAAUGUGUGCUUCCAGCCCCUUUGACUGACCUCUAAGCGUGGCAGCUCCUGUGCUUCCAUAGUCCUUUACCUUCCAACUGGGCUCAGUUCCUGGGAGGUGCUGCAAGAGACAGGCAGGAAGAAGGAGAGUCCAUUUGCGACAGGUGUUCUCUCUGCUCCCUCCCCGCUGGACCUUACUAAAGCCUCCACUCUGGUGGGGGAUGGGGGUAGGGCCCUCCAGGGCUCCAGCAACAGUCUUCCUUCCCUUCCUUUUUAGGCUUUAGGGGUAUAAUGGCCUCCUGUGGUUGCCAGGUCCUGGGUGUUCAUUUUCUAGCCUGGCUUUUUUUUUUUAAUUUUUAGUUGUUGAUGGACCUUUAUUUUAAAUAUUUAUUUAAAUAUGGUGCUGAUAAUCGAACCCAGUGCCUCACACAUGCUAGGCAAGCUCUCUACCACUGAGCCACAACCCCAGCCCAAGUCUGGCUUCUUUUAAUCUUGCCCACACCUCUGUAAAUAGUUCCUUUUAAAAACUCUUCAAUCACUCCCUUGGGACCAUUUGAUCCUGCUGGGACUCUGAAUGAUUCAAUGAAGGCCAGGACAAAAGUUAUCCCAGAAAACCAAGGGGGCUAGGAGAGGACCAGGAAUAAUCAAAAUCAAAAUCAAAAGUUGAUUGAUGUACUUAGGUUCACUGACUUGCUGACUGGGCUUUUUAACAUUAAAGGCCCAACAGCUCCAUUGACUUGGCUAACAUUUUAUUUUCAGUGGUCUACAAAUCUUUUAAGACAUCCACCUUCUACAUGUUCUGCCCAUUAUCCCAGACUACAGAUAAGGUGUGAGUGUUUUGAGGACUAGCCAUUAGGAAGAGCUAUGCACGGGUAACCCACUCCAAAAGAGAAAUAAUAAUAAUAUAAGUGACAACUAAUAUUUAUUGUUUAUCAUAUGCUAGGCACUGUGAAAAAUCUUUUAUAUAUCAUCUUAUUAAAUCCUAAGAACAAAACUCCAUGAAGCAAACACUCAGUUUUACACAUGAGAAAUCAAGUGUAGAGAGGCUAAGUAUUUGCUCCCAGUUUUAGAAGUUGAACCCAGGCCUUUAACACCAGAACCAGAGCUCUUAAAUAUUGUAUAAAUAAUCCACCAAAUGUGGCUCCAGUACUACUGGGGGAACAGGAGAUGAUUUGGGGACCAACUAUGGGCAAAGAGUAUUAUUAGAUUACUUAUGUAUUUCUACUUAAGAUCACCUUCUAUUUAUGACAGGUGAUAACUGGUUUUCCAUUUUCAAUACUACUGUAGUUUCCUUUUCAAAAUAAAUAUAACAAAAACAAUAAAUAAAUUUAAAGAAAAAUAUGAAAGAACUGUGUAGGAUGAGUAUAGAUAUGACCAAAAUUAUGAUUGAAAUUCACGGUUAUACUCCACACUAGCUCUCAACAAGCCCUAAGUGUACAUACCAAACAAGAUUGCUAUAAAUUAAGACAAUUAAAUAUAUGCACAUCUGUUCCCAAACACCUUUCCUGAUUAACUCACCCACAUUUUGCCUAUUUCUAGAGAAGACUGUUCACAAUACCAUGAGUUUUUCUACAACUAGGGUUUCUGUGCCACCAGUGGGCUCCUGAGAGUCAAAAUAUAAGGGACUAAUGCCAUUCUAAUAUCAGAGUUGUGUGGGUUCCUGUUUCAACUUUUCCUAGUUGAGAUGCUAUGAAAGUACAAGUAGAGUUAAAAUCACUUAACAGGAAAGGGAAAGUCCACAACCUCCCUGCUGCACAGAUUGGAGCUCUUUCAGCUGUGUUAGAAUGAAAAGAGCGCCUGACCCAGGGUUUCCUUCCAGAGAUGUGUCCCCCCAGACUUUCCUGUGCAGUAUCCCUCUCCCUUCCAAAUGAGGGUCACUGCAUUUCUAGAAAACUAAAUAUAGCUUUGUAACAGGACAGGAUUAGGGUCCCAGACACUUUGGGGGAAGUGACAUGGUCUGUUUCAUGUCACCUACUUUUCCCAGAUGCUCACAAAAUGUGCCACCCUAACACCUCUGUCACUGGUUAGGAUAAUUUUAACCUGGCUUCAUCUUAGCUGUUGGUCUGAGCUGUGAUACCCAAAACUAGUUACAACUAGUCCUGUCCUCUCGAAGACACGAUUCUGACCAGGGAGAGGGUAGGAUGAGUUCUUUUGCCAAUUUCAACCCCUCAGUGUUUGACUGAAGAUGAUGCCGCCUGGUACUGACUACUUUUUACUGGGCUGAUCCUUCAGUCAUGGUCCCCCAGAGUUGAGAGAAUGCAUCUACAAAUGUGCCAGAUCGUAUCUUCACAGACAGAACUUUGAACCGCAACUUACAGCAGGGAACAUGCCCAGGAAACUGAUUCCUUAUCUAUAAUAAACAACCCAGGAAGCCAGUCUGCUAUAAGUCAAGACUUGCAGGAAGCCAAAUGGUUCUCUCCAGUGACAGUCCAGGAAGACAAACGGUAACUUUCAUAACACUCAGCUCCAAAUGGCCAGACUUCAUUAAUAACUGACAGCUCCUCUUGAUUUUUGUCCCCUCUUUCAAACGAGGACCAAUCAUAGAUCUUCAAACAUGCGCCCGCCCCUAAUGGAUCCCACAGGAUGUGCUGGUCCUGGUUUGCCCAUUGGUAGCUUUCCCAGACCAGCAGCCUUCAAUCAGGGCAUACCUGAAGCGUUCUUUCUUUUCCACAAUGGAACUUUCUGGCUCCUCUGCCUGCAUUGGGGUCUCUGCCCAAACACAAGUAGCAGUGGCCAACUCCCUGCUCUAGCAAGCUCAGACUAAAUAGCCUUGUUUUUCUCAUUGAGGUGAUCUUUGUUUACUUCCACAGAGCCUGUAUGUAAUCUGCUUAUUCUUCUACCCACCCCACCUUAGGGCCUUGCCUAGUGAUAAGACCCCAAAUCUCAGUUUGUGCUGUGUAGACGAGAUUUCUUCCUUUGCUAGGAGAAGAGCUGGGAUAGAAGAGGGUGUUGGUGGGAGCUUAUUCCUGGAGGCAGAGCUGGGUAUACCUUGAGAGCUUGCCACAGAAGUGGCUUGCCACUUCUCUUAAGAGCCAGUGAUCAGGCCAGACUGCUACUGGGUUUCAGCUCCGGUUCCUACUUUAUUUCCCAGUCCCACCUCACCAUGAUUGUGGCCUACCCUUACUCCUGCCAAAUCCUCCGCAGGACUUAGUCCCUGCAGCCUGUGUCAGAUGCAUGAGUAGCCAGCAACCUUCUCCCAAGCUGCUGCCACAGUGAUGUAUGAAUCAUUCAUGAUUUUUUAGCAGACUGGAAGGUGACCACAUGGUGGCACUGUAAAGCUGCCUAUAGUCUCCAAAAGUUGUCAAACUGCAAAGCCCCAGGGAGUUGAGAUCUAUAUUUUCCUGUUCUUAUGAAUGUCAAAAAAACUGAAAAAGGGUAAUGGUCAACAGCCAUCAGAAAACCUUGACAUUAUUUAAGGUUUCUUCCUAAUCAAUGGCCAUUUGUGUUUGAAACUUGUCAAACAUAAACUCUCUGCAGCACACAAUCCCUCCACCUGAUUCUGUGUCUCUUGGCAUCCAGUAUAUGCAUGUUUCUGUCCUAAAUAGUCUGCCAGUUUCUAUAAACACGGAAAUUGUCACAGAAAUUAAAGAAGUUUAAGAAUGUCUUAUCUAAGUGAAAUAAUUUCUUAUUUUGUUUUGGCCCAUCAUUAUGCUAAAUAAAUGGAAGAUUUACCCCUCUUCACAUAGCUUGGCAAACCAUAGAUGCAAAUGAAAACUGCCCAAAUAUGGAAAAAUUCCUCAUCUGCCCUGACUGAUUAGUCAUUACACAUUUACAUAGCAUGGGCAAAGCUUCCCGGAUAUUGAUGUUUUCCUACACCUUCCAUUGACUGAUUCAAAUUAUUUGGAAUUGAGGUUUGUUCUGUGCAUGCUUUUUAAAAGAGAGCCCGAGGGAUUUGGUUCAGCUUCUUAUUUUUCAUUGAGACUGCAUGAUAGCCUGAUAGUCCCCAGCUCUGUAUGAAAGAUAGUGUAGCACAAGGGGAGAAAAUACAUGUUCGGGAUCAAGUGGUGUAUCCUGGCUCAACCCUUGCUUGUUUUGUGACUUUGACCAAAUAUUCUCCUCUUAUUUGCCCCUCAAUUUGCUUACCUAUGAACUGGGAUAAAGACUACUGGCUUCUAAAUUUGUCUGGGGGAUUAAAUGAGAUAAUGUAUUAUGUGUAAUAGGUGCUCAGUGAAGGCAGCUAGAUUUCCUUUGAGUAGAGUGAAUGAUCACAGUAUAUAACUUACAGACAAACAACUGAAAGGUUGGGGAAGUUCUUCAUGCUUCUUUGGAAACAUCAUGUGGUGAUUAAGACAGUUUGAGCCAAACAGUCUGCACAUAAACCCUAGUUGACCAUUUGUGCAAUAGAUGAAUUCAGAAAAUGCAAGCAAAGCUUUCCAAGCCCCAGCAUCUCAGUCUGUGAUACUGAUAGUCAUAGUCCUGUCUGUGUGGGCAACAAGUGAGAUAAUAACUAUGUUAGGAGUUGAUUGUGCUGAGGUCCUAACUUCAGUGCUUGUGAGGUGACUUUACUUGAAACAGUGUCUUUGCAGAUGAUCAGGUUGAGAUGAGGUCACCAAGGAGGGCUCUAACCCAAUAGACUAAUGCCCUUAUAAAAAGGGGAAAUUUGGACACAGAGAGACAUACACACAGGGAGAACUCCAUAUAAAGAUGAAGGCAGGGACAAAGAUGAUAUGUAUACAAGCCAGAAAUGCCAACAAUUGCCAAAACCACAAGCUAUGAGAGAGCAUGGAACAGAUUCUCCUUCAUAGUUCUCAGAAGAAACCAACUCUGGUGACACCUUGACAUUAGACAUCUCGCCUAUUUAAGCCACCCAGUUGGUGGUCCUUUAUGACAGUCCUAGCAAACAAAUUCAGCAUAGAGGCAUGCAACCCAGUGCAUGCACCUGGCAAGCAUUCAGUUCAUGUUCAAAAUUAUUGCUAUCGAGCCAGGCGCGGUGACGCAUGCCUAUAAUCCCAGUGACUCGGGAGGUGAAACAGGAGGAUUGGGAGUUCAAAGCCAGCCUCAGCAACUUGGAGAGGCACUUAGAAACUCAGUGAGACCCUGUCUCUAAAUAAAACACAAAAGAGGGCUAGGCAUGUGGCCCAGUGGUUAAGCCCUCCUGGGUUCAAUCCCCAGUACCACCACCUCCCCCCAAAAUUAUUGCUGUUGAUGUUGGUAAGUGAGGUUUCUUACCUUUCCUAACAUCAACUCCUUUACCCAGGGAUAGUCCCAGCCAGUUUAUCCUGCAUGGUUACUGGUUACUAGAACUUUGUUUUCAUUAUGAUGCUGACACAUAUGCAGAAAGGGAUAAACCGAAGUAGGUUUUAAUCAGCUGUUGAUUAGAUUUAAAAAAAUGUAAGCACCCUGAACAAAGAUCACUAAAGAGAAAACCUGGGAUUUAAGAAUGGUUUUAUACAAGGUGAGGGGGGAACCAGACAACAUCCAUGAUUAAAUUGCAAGGUGUUCUGGCAGAUGUCAGGUCUGUGGCGAGCACAGCAGCGGCAGUGAGGGUGGAGGUGGGGGUGGAGCAUGGCAUCCUGAUUUGCUAUUCACACAUCUCCGGGGAGUGGAAGUUGACUUCAUGAGAAGCACAAGAUUCAUAGCAGGGCUCCUUGGUGGCUGCUGUUUUUACACUUGUUCUGUGACAGCACAAAGAAAGCAGUUUUAUUCUCUCAGUUCUUGAUAUGAGCUGCUGCGCAGAUGACAACCAUGCAGAAGUCUUGCAGAACCAAUCUGGCCUGUCACUUGAGUUUGGGUCUUGACAUUCAAACUGUCUCCAAGCCAGAAGAAUCUCCAAAAGCACCUGCCUAGCAGAGAAGCCAGCACAGCUCCUGAGUCAGAGAGGCUGGAUAAUGAUAAGCAUUUGUUGUAAGAAUGAAUGAGUUGCAAAAAUAAAUAUGUAUUUUAAUAAUACAAUUCUGGGGCAUAAAGGUCAUUAGAGGAGCCUCACAGGAAAAUAUACUUUUAAAGUUUGAGGCAGGAAGCAUUGGUGGUCUUUCUUUCUGAAGAAAUUUAAAUUGCAAGCAUUUCUUUCCUCUCACACAUGCUGUGUACAAACAAUCCCUAGAAAUGAACUGUCUGGAGUACUUUAUUUCUUAAUUAAUCCAGUUUUGCUACUUGGUAUAAAUAGGAUGAUGUUCAGCCUGAAUGAAAGUACAGGAAAGUUUAGGGGAUACAAUCCAAGGAGGAGUUUCAACUCCCUCCACAUCUGCUGCUCCAUUUUCCUUUAAAUUAGAUUUUUAAAUUAAUUUAAUUUUUCAUUUAGAACUGUUCAGCUGCCCCCUCCCCAACCCUUUCUCUUUUCUUCCAGCAGAUGAUCCUCCUGUCUGUGGCCGUAAUCCUUUCCAAGGGAGGACUAAACACUACUUUCUAUAUCACCUGACAGUUCUUUCUCCAUCAUUUUUUUUUCAUGACUUAGCUAGACAGGUAAUAUUUCAGUAAGAACAGGCAUCAGUUACCGUGACAAGCCUAGGUUUAUUGCUAUAUGAGAAAGCAAAGAUCUACUCCACGGAUGUCGAUGUUAGGAAUUCUCCUCUAAGUCACCUCCUUCUGGUAAGCACCUCCCUCUUGUAACACACAACCACUACAGGUAACACAACAGUACACAAUUUGACACUUGGCACCUUAGUGUCCCCAUCUGGAUAACCAAAACACAGGUUGCUCUCCACAGGAGUUUUUUGGGAGAUCACAUUUCAUGUAUUUCCUAGUACUCAGUUUCCCACCAAACAAGAUUUUGAUUUUGAUCUGCUGACACAUAUGCAGAAAGGGAUACCACACAAGAUAAGAAUGGUAAAUUAAAGUUAAAGACUAGAAACCAGGAAAUUCCACAGAACAGUUGAAACACUAGAAAAAGAAGAAUGAGAUAGGAAAAAUAUGUUCUGAGGUUGUACAGGGGUUUUGUAAUGAAGCUUCAAAUAUGACCCUGAGAUUCUUGAAAGUUCAAAGGUCGAGGAUCAGUGAUUGGGGAGAAGUCUUCCAAGAGAUGAUAUGUGGAACUUGAGUGUCUUUAGGCCCACCAGCAUGGGGGCACACUGGGGUGACAUGUUCAUGAGUCAUAUGCUUUUUCCUGAUUGCUAGGCCCCGCUUGUCAGUGUCAGACUCCUCCUCCACUUACUGCUCUUCUUCAUUUUCCCUGCGUUUCCAUCUUCCUUCCAGUCACAACACAAACAGUAACAAAACAACCACCACCACAAAAUAGGAGCACUUUCUCACAGACAUCAAUCUAUGUGGACAGAUGGGCAGGCAGUGGUUGCCAGUUCUCACUGAUCAUAUGAAACCAGAUUUGGGAUCCCACUUAGUCUCUCUGGGAUCUUAGCCUAUAAGACUCUCUUGUCUGCAUGUCACCAAAGGUAUUUUAUAGUCAUUAAGAAGGUAGAAAGAGAAGGUACAGUCUGAAGACAGAUGUUGGCCCCUCCCCAGAUUUUUGUUUUGUUUUUGCCUUGAAUCUAAGCAUUUUUGUUAAACCAGUUAAAAUUUUUUUGUUGUUGUUGUAAAUGGACAGAAUGCCUUUAUUUGUUUAUUUUUAUGUGAUGCUGAGGAUCCAACCCAGUGCCUCACACAUGCCUGGCAAGUGCUCUGCCACUGAGCUACAGCCCCAGCCCUCUAUAGUGUUUUUAAUAAACGAAGAUGGGAGACUCCUCUGCUUAAUGGUGGCAUGGGUAUGAACGUGGAGAAUUCAGAUAUUUUUUGUUUUCAAUUAAAAGUGGACACUUUGAAAAAAAGGAUCCUAUUUUGAACACAGUUGAAACCCCUCGGGGAGAGGGAAUAAUGAAAUGAGAUCUAUUUUAAGCCCAAAGAAGGAGACCCUGAGGAGUGGACCUGCAUUGACUGAGGACGGGUCUCCUGACCAGCAUCUCCUGUCCCCCCUCAAUGCUUCUGGCUUUGCAGAUCUCCUUAGACCACAAUGUACAUUUAGCAGAGUAUUAGCAUUUGUUGGGCACGAAUUUUUAUUUACUUGUCUGUCUCUCUUUCUGAUUAUGGAGUUGCUUUCGGGGACACUUUUGUCUUUUAUCUCAGUAUCACCAACUUGUAGUAAAUUCCUAGUUCCAAGAGGGUACAGGACCUAUUAUGUUAUUUUCUAUACCGCCUGCUCAUUCUCUAAUAUAUAUUUAUCACAUGGGUCAAUAAACUAUCUAAGAAGCUGUAGGCACUUAAUAAAUAUUUGUUCAAUUCAUGAGCUAUAGGUAAAAAAUAAAUCCUAUUUUCAUGCAAUAGGGGAAUUAACUACUUUGAGAUACAUUUGAUGUGUCCUAUGUAAAGUGCUUAUCUUACAUAAAAUUUCUAGUCUUCCCUUCAGGUGUUUCUGAUUAUGCAAGUUAUACAUGUUGUAGAAGACACAGAAGAAAAUAAAAAUGAUACAGAAUCUUCUCACAUCAAAAUCAGAGUGGUUAAUAUAGUCCCAUUUAUAUUGCCUACAUAAUUUUUUAUCUUUUUUACUUAAUCAUGACUAUUUUCUUACAUCAUUAAUUUUUUUUGCUUGACAUUCAUUUUAAUGGCUGUAUAAUAUCUGACUUUAAAAAGUUUUUUUAUUGAGACAUAAUAUUUGUACAUUAUGGUAAUUCCAUCCAUGUUUACAAUGUGUAAUAACCAAAUAAGGUAAUAAGUAUCACUAUCUCUGCAAUCAUUUUUAUGUAUUGGGAAUUUUAUCCUCUUUAAGUUAUUUUGAACGACAUUAUAGAUUGUUUUAAUCAAUAGUUACUCCACUGUGCUAUAAAAAAAAGAACUAAUUCCUUCUCUCUAUGUUUUGGUGACCCUUAUGGAACUUCUUUAAGGGUCCCAAAAGAAUGACAGUUAUCAUUCUCUAGUGACCACUAUUUUUCAUUCUUUUCUUCUAUAAGAUGAACAUAUUAGUUUUCACAAAUGAGUGAGAACAUGUUAUUUGUCUUUCUGUGUCUGGCUUAUUUCACUUAUCACAAGGAUCUCUAGGUCCAUCUAUAUUGCUGCCAAUGCCAGAAUAUUUUAUCCUUUUUUAUGGCUGAAUAAUAUAAAUUGUGUAUAUACACCACAGUUUCUUUAUCCAUUCACUCACUCAAAGGCAUCUAGGUUGAUUAAAUAUUUUAGCUAUUAUGAAUAUGGUUACAACAUGAGAGUGCAAGUGUCUUUUUUAAUAUUUAUUUUUUUAGUUGUAGUUGGACACAAUACUUUUAUUUUAUUUAUGUGGUGCUGAGGAUCAAACCCAGAGCCCUGCACAUUCUAGGCAAGCACUCUACCGCUGAGCCACAACCCCAACCCCUGCAAGUGAUUUUUUGUUGUAAUGAUUUCUUCUCUAGAACAGAUCAGACAUAACUUUUCUCUGUUCAUAUAUGAAAAUACAAUCAUUGAAACUCACAUCUGAAAACCACAAGAAUGGGAUCCUAGUUAGAAUAACUUAAACUCUAUAUACAUAUAAUAUGUCAAAAUACACUGUACUGUCAUGUAUAUCUAAAAAAAACAAAUAAAUUUAAAAAAUGAUUUCAUCUCUUUUGAAUAAAAACUCAUUAAUGGAAUUGUUGGAUCAUAUGGUAGCUCUAUUUUUAGUUUUAUUUUAUUUUUUUGAGGAAUCUCUGUUCUGUUUUCCAUUAUGACUGUACUAAUUUACAUUCCUACCAACAGCAUAUAAGAGUUCCCUUUCUCUAAAUCCUCACAAACAGUCUUUUUCCUGCCUGGAGCCACGCGGCAUGUCUCCGCCUUAUGCUGCCACCAUGUUGUGCUGCCUUGCCCGAGGCCCAAAGUGGCAGUCGUUCUGAAACCUCUAAAACCGCAGACCUGCGACUGACCGGGAGAACAGGCCCAGCGGCCCGCCGGCGUGAUAGACAGAUCACCCCAAUUGGAGGAGGAGCACAACCGCCGCCUGCGCCUGCAAGGGAGACUUUGCAACUAUACAAGAGCAAUAUAAAUAUAUAGGGGGAAAAUUCAAUAACACAACAGUUUCACCAAGCAGAAGAAACGCGAGUAGUAUGAAAAGACAGGGAAAGAAAGGACCACAAGCAACGCAGGUCAACUCAACUUUAGAAGAGGUAAUAUCUGCAGCAGAUGGAAUGUCAGAUAAAGAAUUCAGGAUAUACAUGCUUCAGAUGAUCUGGAGUAUCAAGGAAGACAUUAGACAGCAAAAUCAGACAAUGAAAGAUCACUUUGACAAUAAAUUACACAAACAAAUCCAAGAAGCAAAAGAUCAACUAUACAGGGAGAUAGAAGUUAUAAAAAACAAACAAACAGAAAUCCUAGAAAUGCAGGAAGCAAUAAACCAACUUAAAAACUCAAAUGAGAAUACUACCAGCAGAGUAGAACACUUAGAAGAUAGAACAUCAGACAAUGAAGACAAAGUAUUUCAACUUGAAAAGAACAUAGACAGCUCAGCAAGACUGUUAAGAAACCAUGAGCAGAACAUCCAAGAAAUAUGGGAUAACAUAAAGAGACCAAACUUAAGAGUCAUUGGGAUACAGGAAGGUAUAGAGGUCCAAACCAAAGGAAUGAGCAAUCUGUUCAACGAAAUAAUAUGAGAAAACUUCCCAGACUUGAAGAAUGAGACAGAAUCCCAAAUCCUAGAAGCCUACAGGACGCCGAAUGUGCAAAAUCAUAAGAGAUCCACACCUAGACACAUUAUAAUGAAGAUGCCCAACAUACAGAAUAAGGAGAGAAUUUUAAAAGCUACAAGAGAAAGGAAGCAGAUUACAUUUAGGGGUAAACCAAUCAGGAUAACAGCUGAUCUUUCAACACAGACUCUGAAAGCUAGAAGAUCCUGGAACAACAUAUUUCAAACGCUGAAAGAAAAUGGGUUCCAACCAAGAAUUGUGUAUCCAGCGAAAUUAAGCUUCAGGAUGGAAGAUGAAAUUAAAACCUUCCACGAUAAACAAAAGUUAAAAGAAUUUGCAGCUAGAAAACCAUCUCUUCAAAACAUCCUCGGCAAAACAUUACAGGAAGAGGAAAUGGAAAAUAACAAUGAAAACCAACAGUGGGAGGUAGUACAGUAAAGGGAAAAAAUAAUCAAAGAGGAAAAACAAACCAUGUUAAGUAACAUAAAUAAACAAAUAUGGCUGGAAGAACAAUCCAUAUCUCAAUAAUAACCCUAAAUGUUAAUGGCUUAAACUCACCAAUUAAGAGACACAGGCUAGUAGAAUGGAUCACAAAACAAGACCCAACAAUAUGCUGCCUACAGGAGACGCAUUUGAUAGGAAAAGACAUACAUAGGCUGAAGGUGAAAGGUUGGGAAAAAUCAUAUCACUCAUAUGGACUUCGGAAACAAGCAGGAGUGUCCAUACUCAUAUCAAAUAAAAUAGAUUUCAAGCCAAAGUUAAUCAAAAGGGAUAAAGAGGGACACUACAUACUGCUCAAGGGAACCAUACACCAACAAGACAUAACAAUCAUAAAUAUAUAUGCCCCAAACAAUGGUGCAGCUAUGUUCAUCAAACAAACUCUUCUCAAGUUCAAGAGUCUAAUAGACCACCAUACAAUAAUUAUGGGAGACUUCAACACACCUCUCUCACCACUGGACAGAUCUUCCAAACAAAAGUUGAAUAAAGAAACUAUAGAACUCAAUAAUACAAUUAAUAACCUAGACUUAAUUGACAUAUAUAGAAUAUACCACCCAACAUCAAGCAGUUACACUUUUUUCUCAGCAGCACAUGGAUCCUUCUCAAAAAUAGAUCAUAUAUUAUGUCACAGGGCAACUCUUAGACAAUAUAAAGGAGUAGAGAUAAUACCAUGCAUCUUAUCUGAUCAUAAUGGAAUGAAACUGAAAAUCAACGAUAAAAGAAGGAAGGAAAAAGCAUACAUCACUUGGAGAAUGAACAAUAGGUUACUGAAUGAUCAAUGGGUUAUAGAAGACAUCAAGGAGGAAAUUAAAAAAUUCUUAGAGAUAAAUGAAAACACAGACACAACAUAUCGGAAUCUAUGGGACACAUUGAAAGCAGUUCUAAGAGGAAAAUUCAUUGCUUGGAGUUCAUUCCUUAAAAAAAGAAAAAACCAACAAAUAAAUGAUCUCAUACUUCAUCUCAAAAUCCUAGAAAAAGAAGAGCAAAACAACAGCAAAAGAAGUAGAAGGCAAGAAAUAAUUAAAAUCAGAGCUGAAAUUAAUGAAAUCGAAACAAAAGAAACAAUUGAAAAAAUUGACAAAACUAAAAGUUGGUUCUUUGAAAAAAUAAACAAAAUCGACAGACCCUUAGCCAUGCUAGCGAAGAGAAGAAGAGAGAGAACUCAAAUUACUAGCAUACGGGAUGAAAAAGGCAAUAUCACAACAGACACUUCAGAAAUACAGAAGAUAAUCAAAAACUAUUUUGAAUCCUUAUACUCCAAUAAAUUAGAAGAUAGUGAAGGCAUAGAUAAAUUUCUUAAGUCAUAUGAUCUGCCCAGAUUGAGUCAGGAGGAUAUAGACAACCUAAACAGACCAAUAUCAAUUGAGGAAAUAGAAGAAACCAUCAAAAGACUACCAACUAAGAAAAGCCCAGGACCGGAUGGGUAUACAGCAGAAUUUUACAAAACCUUUAAAGAAGAACUAAUACCAAUACUUUUCAAGCUACUUCAGGAAAUAGAAAAAGAGGGAGAACUUCCAAAUUCAUUCUACGAGGCCAACAUCACCCUGAUUCCUAAACCAGACAAAGACACUUCAAAGAAAGAAAACUACAGACCAAUAUCUCUAAUGAACCUAGAUGCAAAAAUCCUCAAUAAAAUUCUGGCGAAUCGGAUACAAAAACAUAUCAAAAAAAUUGUGCACCAUGAUCAAGUAGGAUUCAUCCCUGGGAUGCAAGGCUGGUUCAAUAUACGGAAAUCAAUAAAUGUUAUUCACCACAUCAAUAGACUUAAAAAUAAGAACCAUAUGAUCAUCUCGAUAGAUGCAGAAAAAGCAUUUGACAAAGUACAGCAUCCCUUUAUGUUCAAAACUCUAGAAAAACUAGGGAUAACAGGAACAUACCUCAAUAUUGUAAAAGCAAUCUAUGCUAAGCCUCAGGCUAGCAUCAUUCUGAANNNNNNNNNNNNNNNNNNNNNNNNNNNNNNNNNNNNNNNNNNNNNNNNNNNNNNNNNNNNNNNNNNNNNNNNNNNNNNNNNNNNNNNNNNNNNNNNNNNNNNNNNNNNNNNNNNNNNNNNNNNNNNNNNNNNNNNNNNNNNNNNNNNNNNNNNNNNNNNNNNNNNNNNNNNNNNNNNNNNNNNNNNNNNNNNNNNNNNNNNNNNNNNNNNNNNNNNNNNNNNNNNNNNNNNNNNNNNNNNNNNNNNNNNNNNNNNNNNNNNNNNNNNNNNNNNNNNNNNNNNNNNNNNNNNNNNNNNNNNNNNNNNNNNNNNNNNNNNNNNNNNNNNNNNNNNNNNNNNNNNNNNNNNNNNNNNNNNNNNNNNNNNNNNNNNNNNNNNNNNNNNNNNNNNNNNNNNNNNNNNNNNNNNNNNNNNNNNNNNNNNNNNNNNNNNNNNNNNNNNNNNNNNNNNNNNNNNNNNNNNNNNNNNNNNNNNNNNNNNNNNNNNNNNNNNNNNNNNNNNNNNNNNNNNNNNNNNNNNNNNNNNNNNNNNNNNNNNNNNNNNNNNNNNNNNNNNNNNNNNNNNNNNNNNNNNNNNNNNNNNNNNNNNNNNNNNNNNNNNNNNNNNNNNNNNNNNNNNNNNNNNNNNNNNNNNNNNNNNNNNNNNNNNNNNNNNNNNNNNNNNNNNNNNNNNNNNNNNNNNNNNNNNNNNNNNNNNNNNNNNNNNNNNNNNNNNNNNNNNNNNNNNNNNNNNNNNNNNNNNNNNNNNNNNNNNNNNNNNNNNNNNNNNNNNNNNNNNNNNNNNNNNNNNNNNNNNNNNNNNNNNNNNNNNNNNNNNNNNNNNNNNNNNNNNNNNNNNNNNNNNNNNNNNNNNNNNNNNNNNNNNNNNNNNNNNNNNNNNNNNNNNNNNNNNNNNNNNNNNNNNNNNNNNNNNNNNNNNNNNNNNNNNNNNNNNNNNNNNNNNNNNNNNNNNNNNNNNNNNNNNNNNNNNNNNNNNNNNNNNNNNNNNNNNNNNNNNNNNNNNNNNNNNNNNNNNNNNNNNNNNNNNNNNNNNNNNNNNNNNNNNNNNNNNNNNNNNNNNNNNNNNNNNNNNNNNNNNNNNNNNNNNNNNNNNNNNNNNNNNNNNNNNNNNNNNNNNNNNNNNNNNNNNNNNNNNNNNNNNNNNNNNNNNNNNNNNNNNNNNNNNNNNNNNNNNNNNNNNNNNNNNNNNNNNNNNNNNNNNNNNNNNNNNNNNNNNNNNNNNNNNNNNNNNNNNNNNNNNNNNNNNNNNNNNNNNNNNNNNNNNNNNNNNNNNNNNNNNNNNNNNNNNNNNNNNNNNNNNNNNNNNNNNNNNNNNNNNNNNNNNNNNNNNNNNNNNNNNNNNNNNNNNNNNNNNNNNNNNNNNNNNNNNNNNNNNNNNNNNNNNNNNNNNNNNNNNNNNNNNNNNNNNNNNNNNNNNNNNNNNNNNNNNNNNNNNNNNNNNNNNNNNNNNNNNNNNNNNNNNNNNNNNNNNNNNNNNNNNNNNNNNNNNNNNNNNNNNNNNNNNNNNNNNNNNNNNNNNNNNNNNNNNNNNNNNNNNNNNNNNNNNNNNNNNNNNNNNNNNNNNNNNNNNNNNNNNNNNNNNNNNNNNNNNNNNNNNNNNNNNNNNNNNNNNNNNNNNNNNNNNNNNNNNNNNNNNNNNNNNNNNNNNNNNNNNNNNNNNNNNNNNNNNNNNNNNNNNNNNNNNNNNNNNNNNNNNNNNNNNNNNNNNNNNNNNNNNNNNNNNNNNNNNNNNNNNNNNNNNNNNNNNNNNNNNNNNNNNNNNNNNNNNNNNNNNNNNNNNNNNNNNNNNNNNNNNNNNNNNNNNNNNNNNNNNNNNNNNNNNNNNNNNNNNNNNNNNNNNNNNNNNNNNNNNNNNNNNNNNNNNNNNNNNNNNNNNNNNNNNNNNNNNNNNNNNNNNNNNNNNNNNNNNNNNNNNNNNNNNNNNNNNNNNNNNNNNNNNNNNNNNNNNNNNNNNNNNNNNNNNNNNNNNNNNNNNNNNNNNNNNNNNNNNNNNNNNNNNNNNNNNNNNNNNNNNNNNNNNNNNNNNNNNNNNNNNNNNNNNNNNNNNNNNNNNNNNNNNNNNNNNNNNNNNNNNNNNNNNNNNNNNNNNNNNNNNNNNNNNNNNNNNNNNNNNNNNNNNNNNNNNNNNNNNNNNNNNNNNNNNNNNNNNNNNNNNNNNNNNNNNNNNNNNNNNNNNNNNNNNNNNNNNNNNNNNNNNNNNNNNNNNNNNNNNNNNNNNNNNNNCAGUAUGAAAACAAAUAACCCAAUCAACAAAUGGGCCAAGGACCUGAACAGACACUUCUCAGAGGAGGACAUACAAUCAAUCAACAAGUACAUGAAAAAAUGCUCACCAUCUCUAGCAGUCAGAGAAAUGCAAAUCAAAACCACCCUAAGAUACCAUCUCACUCCAGUAAGAUUGGCAGCCAUUAUGAAGUCAAACAACAACAAGUGCUGGCGAGGAUGUGGGGAAAAGGGUACACUUGUACAUUGCUGGUGGGACUGCAAAUUGGUGCAGCCAAUUUGGAAAGCAGUAUGGAGAUUUCUUGGAAAGCUGGGAAUGGAGCCACCAUUUGACCCAGCUAUUCCCCUUCUCGGUCUAUUCCCUAAAGACCUAAAAAGAGCAUGCUACAGGGACACUGCUACAUCGAUGUUCAUAGCAGCACAAUUCACAAUAGCAAGACUGUGGAACCAACCUAGAUGCCCUUCAAUAGACGAAUGGAUAAAAAAAAUGUGGCAUUUAUACACAAUGGAGUAUUACUCUGCAUUAAAAAAUGACAAAAUCAUGGAAUUUGCAGGGAAGUGGAUGGCAUUAGAGCAGAUUAUGCUAAGUGAAACUAGCCAAUCCCUAAAAAACAAAUGCCAAAUGUCUUCUUUGAUAUAAGGAGAGCAACUAAGAACAGAGUAGGGAGGAAGAGCAGGAGAAGAAGAUUAACAUUAAACAGGGAUGAGAGAUGGGAGGGAAAGGGAGAGAGAAGGGAAAUUGCAUGGAAAUGGAAGGAGACCCUCAGGGUUAUACAAAAUUACAUACAAGAGGAAGUGAGGGGAAAGGGAAAAAAACAAGGGGGAGAAAUGAAUUACAGUAGUUGGGGUAGAGAGAGAAGAUGGGAGGGGAGCUGAGGGGAGGGGGGAUAGUAGAGGAUAGGAAAGGCAGCAGAAUACAACAGACACUAGUAUGGCAAUAUGUAAAACAGUGGAUGUGUAACUGAUGUGAUUCUGCAAUCUGGAUUUGGGGUAACAAUGGGAGUUCAUAACCCACUUGAAUCAAAGUGUGAAAUAUGAUAUGUCAAGAACUAUGUAAUGUUUUGAACAACCAACAAUAAAAAUUUAAAAAAAAUCCUCAAUCCUCACAAACAUUUUUAUUUUUACCUUUUGAUUAUUGGCAUUCUCACUAGGGUGAAAUGAUAUCUUAUCGUGGAUUUGCUUUUCCCUAGUGAUUGAUAAGAUUGAGCAAUUUUUAAUAUAUUUGUUGGUCACUUGUGUUUCUUGUUUAGAGAAGUAUCUACUCAGCUCUUGAGCCCAUUUUUUAAUUGUAUUCUUUCUGGUGCUUAGCUUUUUCAUUUUCUUGUAUAUUUUGGAUAUUAAUAUUUGACUUUAUUGAUGUUCUGUAAUUUUAAUUAUUUUCUCUUAUUAUUUAUCAACAUAGGUUGGCUUUUUUCAUAAGUAUAAAUAAUAUCACAGUGAAAAUUUUGAAUAUAAAUUCAAUUUAUAAAAGUGUGUUUAGAAUAGAUUUCUAAGCUCUUCUUUUUCUCCCAAAUUGUUCGGGGAAGCAAAUUUGAGUAAACACUGCCAUUUUCUGCCUUUCAUUAGUGACCCUGGAUAAAGGUAAAUAUUGUACCAACUAUUAGUUGCUGACCAUCUUUUUUUUUUUUUUUAAAGAAAAUGACCGAAUGAUUUCUAUUUUCUAGCUUCUGACCACCUCCUGAAUUGCAUCUUUAUCCCAGACAAAAUAACAAUUUACAUCCCGCCUACCCCCCACGUCUGGGUACUCCAGACACCUCCAUGGCAG